AUAAUUUUAUUGUAUAAAUUUUCGGGAUCAACAAUCGGACCAUGCAAGCUAGAAAUACCUUUUCUUGGAUAAAAGAAGAUAUUACUCGUCCCAUCUCCGUAUCGCUCAUGGUAUAUAUAAUAACUAGAGCAUCCAUUUCAAAUGCGUAUCCCAUUUUUGCACAGCAAAGUUAUGAAAAUCCCCGCGAAGCGACCGGUCGUAUUGUGUGUGCCAAUUGUCAUUUAGCUAAUAAACCCGUGGUUAUUGAGGUGCCACAAGCGGUACUUCCUGAUACUGUGUUUGAAGCAGUUGUUCGAAUUCCUUAUGAUAUGCAAGUGAAACAAGUUCUUGCUAAUGGUAAAAAGGGAGCUUUGAAUGUCGGAGCUGUUCUUAUUUUACCCGAAGGAUUUGAAUUAGCCCCCCCCGAGCGUAUUUCGCCAGAGAUGAAAGAAAAGAUAGGUAAUCUAUCUUUUCAGAGUUAUCGUCCCAAUAAAAAAAAUAUUCUUGUGAUAGGCCCUGUUCCUGGUCAGAAGUAUAGUGAAAUCACCUUUCCGAUUCUUUCUCCGGACCCCACUAUUAACAAGGAUGUUCUUUAUUUUUAAACUCUCCUUCGGGUGUGAUCAAAUUUUUGCAUUGUUAUCGAGACUCAUUCCGUAUGAAGGAAACAGAAGGUAAAUUUGCAUUUCUAAUAAUAAAUUUUUUGCUUUAAUUAUUAGUAUAUUUUUUUUAAAAUAUCUUUAUGAUUGCCCUAAUUGCAAACUAAAGAUCACUAUUAAUUUUUUUACAUUCCACCAUCCAAUUUUCCAUCUUUCGCAUAAAAGGCACAUAAAACUUGUCACCUUUGAAAAUUCAAUCAUCCAUAUUUUCCACCACUUCCAUUCAACUCCUAAUCUUUCCCAUUUCUCAAACCAAAAUAAAAUUUCACAAACAUAAAAAUAAUAAAAAUCUGGUGCUAAAUUAUUUAAUAUAAAUUUAAAUACUAAAAUUCUAAAAAUAAAAAGAUUUAAAGAAGAUGAGAGGAUUAUUUUGGGCUUUCAUAAGGAAAUGCUGCCAAAGGUUCAAAGGGAUUUAAGUAGUCCAAGUGACUCCCCUACUUUCUUGAGAACUACAAUGAAAAUUUUGGUGCUUACAUCAAUGAGACGUUUCUAAGUAAAGUACUUGAUCAACGUUUUUAAGCGUUAUCAAAAUAAUCCGACUAAUGAAUUAAGCAGAGUCGAAUCUCCCAAGGGUCUCUUUAAAUAUCUUACUCAAAGUUAUAAAUAGUACUAAUCGAAAUAUCAAUGAAUGUGGUUUAGGUGCCAUGGCGAUUAAUCAAUCAUAAAAGAAAAUGAAAAUUUGCUUUAAUGUAAACAGGAUUGCAAGAGUGCACGAUGCAAGACUGCACGAUAUAAUGUUUAGCCAAUGAGAGAUGAAACUGCUUAGACGUCGAAUCCCCCUAGGUAAUUCUAAUUCACAUAUGACAGACAAAUUCCACGAUUUACACGAGGAUAGACACAUUACACAGUUGCAAUUCUUCUAUAAUCAAAUCACACCCUUACGAGACCACUAAUUUGGUACCUAUCUAGUAUUUUAGGCCGUUCUUUCGAGACAAAGAUCUAAAAUCCGCUAGGUGAUUUACCAAUUUAGAAUGGCUCACCACGACAAACUAGUUCAUUCGCUCCCAGAUGAGGGUUAAAGUUUAACCUAGUUAUUUGAUUUUGAUGUUCUAGAUAUGCAAACUCUCACAAGUCUAAGACAAAUCUAAUAGAUCUUCAUUCAAGUUUAUCAGGUAAGAACAAGUGGAAAACGAAAUCAAAUACGCAAUAAAAUUCAUCUAACUCACUUAAAUUGACAAAUGUAUCAUAUCAUUCGUUCAUAAGAAUUAACCUAUGGUUCAUCUAAUCUAAGCAAGAGUAGUUUAGCUACUCAUAAUCUCGAGGGAAAAAUCGAGAUCAGAAGAGGAAGACAUUGAAUCUAGGUUUACACAAAGAAAUAUGAAAAACUAAUUUCGCCGAUCUUCCCGAGAACUUGAUUCACCGAUUGAUUACUUUCCCGAUUCCGAGCUCCUUGAAGUUGUUGUUUUGUUGCUCUCAAAUCUCUCAAUAAUAAUCUCAAUUUUGUCUGGGAAAAUCUAUCUGAGAAUGGGAUAGAAUUGGGCUUUUAUAGAGGCGAUUCCUUAGGACUAGCAGACACCAAAAGUGCGCCGCACACUUUUGGGUUUUCUAAGGCACAUUUUUGGUCUAAAUGUCAAGGAUCGGAACUUCACAUAACAACCAAACAUGCGCGUAACCAACCAAAACUGCGUCGCACACUUAUCGUAUGGUUAAGGCGCACUUUCGGUAUAAAGCCAGACUUGGUGAUUUUUUCAUUCUUUGAUGCAUCCAGCUUCUCCUUGCACAUCAUUACAACUACGAAUAAUGCCCCGAUAUCGUUGUGUUCCUGAAGUUGAUCAGAAACACUACAAAACAACAUCAAAUGGACCCCGAACGGGCCUAAGACACUAAAUCGAGGUAAAAGUUAGAAAUGCAUGAAAUAUCCUAAACUUCUACCCAACACUGUACAAAUAUUCAUGAAAUAUUGCUUAAAUGAGGACGAUGAACACGACAAAUCAAGUGUCAUCAGUACUCCAUAACCUUCCCGCUCAACUUUUUUAACACAUAAACACUCUUUGUGUCUGUCUCUCUCUCUCUCCUUUUAAAACUUCCAAAACUAAAGCAAAACGAAUUCAUUCUCUCUUCUCCCCUCUCUCCACUCCAUCUUCCAAACUCCUAUUUGGUCAAAUGAAUGAUGCCACAUAUCACUCCACAAUUUGCUAACCUUCUUCUUGAAGACGUUGCAAUUGCACCUACGGUUCCCGGUAGUACGUAUUCUGAGGACGAGUACUCCGACAAAGAUCAUCUAAGAAUUUCCACUAAAGAUACCUUCACCAUGGGUUAAGAGAAGACAAUUGGUGAUUAUGCGAAACCAAGUCUCUCUAACGUGGGGUCUUCCAUCACCCGACCUCGUGUUGAAGCCAAAAAUUUUAAAUUGUGACCCGCUAUGAUCAACAUGGUCCAGCAAACAGUGUAAUUAUUAUUGAAAAAGGAAGAUAAUCCCCGUAACCAUAUCAAAGACUUCCUUGAAAUCAAUAACAAUUUACAAGUCCAACAGGUGCGCCCAGAUUCCAUUCGCCUCUGGUUUUCCCUUUCUCUCUUAAACGAGUUUGUCCUCAAACAGUGGGUAGUUUUACCACCCGGGACGGUCUCAUCGAAGCCUUUCUGAAAGAAUAUUUUUCUCCAUGGAAGCGUGAUGAUAUCAAAGAGAGAAUUAUCAAUGUCAUGCAACGUGAUAAUUAAAUUUUUUUAUUAAGCAUGGAUUUGAUUCCAAGCUCUCCUCCUCUCAUGCACUCAUCACAGGUUUUGAUGACCCCAACCAAGCGUCGAUCAAGAAAGCAUGAUCAACCAGACUGUUGGUGGUGAUAUUUGUAGUCCUACUCUGACUCGUGCUCUUGAUCUCUUCCAAUAGUAUCUAUCAAAACUCAAAGUUGGGCUAGAUGAUGUGGUAACCAAUAUAGUACCCUGCCUACUACUUCAUCCUAUGCCAUUAGUCAUGAAACCCUUUGGACCGCUCUUGUUCCCAUUCUCUCUCAGGUGCAUCCUCUUUCUUAACAAGUGAGAAAACUGACCAUCGAGACCCUACAUAAACCUACAUCAACAAUUUGUGUCAAUGAUGCAUGCGAGGACGAAGGACAUGAUUAUGCUGACUGUUACUCUUACAAUACUUCUCCCGACAAAAAUAAGUUGACUUUGUGGGUGGUGAUUACCCGUAAAUUGCAAAAUCAAGGAAACUCUAGGCCUUUCCAAUACUCUUACCAAGUCAACCGUCUUACCCAAUUCUCGGGUCUGGCACACCAGGAAAACAUUCAUGCUCUUUCCAUAACAAUGAAUUUCAAUUGAACAAUCUUGCCAUAAUGCUGAGUGAGAGACUGCAAGGCUCUCGCCCGAGCAACACUGAAAACAAUCCUAGGCAAGAGGAAUAAAAUACAAUCUUUGUUACUAUUGAAAGAUUUGACACUUCCGAAUCUUGUGAAGCUGUCACCCGCAAAAGUAGAAUCACCACUAAGGAUCCUCCAAUUACUAAGUCCACAAAUGCCACCAACAUAAAUGGAAAUCCUGUUGUCGCACAAGUCCACUCGGACAUCUUGCGGAAUCUUGAGAGAUGUAGUUGUGCUAGUUGGACCUUAUGUCUUUCUGGUUGACGUUGUUAUCAUUGAGACCAAUAUAUUAUAUGUCUCCCUCAUUCUUGGCUGUCCAUUCUUAAAAAAUUCUUGUGCUAUCAUCGAUGUGCACGGUGGCAAGCUUACUUUUCGAGUCGGCCAAGGAAAAGCCAUAUUUUGUCUUUUUGACGGGAUGCAAUAUGUCGAUGUUUAGGAUAACCCAAACUAUUUUGAUGACUUCGCUGAAGUUGGAUUAGUAUUCUUCCUAUCUAGUGGCCUCUGCUAAGACCCACUUGAGUGGUGCCUCUAUGCAUGUUUUUGGGAUGCGUUUGACAAGGAAUAACAACUUGAGCAGGUUUCCAUGUUGGAACCUGAAGGACAGGAGAUUGACUGUACUCCCGAGCCUCCGGUAAAGGUACCAAGGAUGGAACCCACUACCUGAACACCUCCAGUAUGCUUUUCUGAUGGAUGACUUGAAGACACUUGUCAUCAUCAAUACCUCCCUUAGUCCGGAACAAAAGGAAUGUCAUAUCACUCUUUUGAAAAAUAUAUAAUGUUUGAGUCAUUUCUCCAUCCUUUUGUACGCACAAAAUUCUGAUGGAAGAGGAAUACAAGCCAGUUGUGAAUCCAAACAUGAAUGCAAUGGUAAAAAAGGAGGUGAUGAAAUUGCUUAACGAUGCAUCUAUCCCAUCUCUAAAAGCCCAUGGUUUAGGCUUGUGCAAGUAGUGCCAAAGAAAGGGGGCAUGGCAUUGGUCUUAAAUGAUAAUAGCCAAUUAAUUCCUACUUGAACCAUUAGUGGUUAAAGAGUCUGUAUAGACUAUCGCCGGCUGAAAGAUGCCACCGUGAAGGACUAGUUUCCUCUCCCUUUCAUUGAUCAAAUACUUGAUCGCCUAUCUGGUCAUUCUUAUUACUACUUCCUAGACGAGAGUUUCGAUUACUUAUAAAUACCCAUUGAACCGAAAGAUCAAGAAAAGGCCACCUUCACUUGUCCCUAUUGUAUCUUCGCGUAUCUUAGAAUACCAUUUGGUAUGUGCAAUGCACCGAUGACUUUUCAAAGGUGUAUGAUGGCCAUUUUUUAUGAAUUGGUGGAGGAUGUGGUUGAAGUCGUUAUAGACAUCUUUUCCGUCUAUCUAGAUUCAUUCUCCCACCACCUUAAGAACAUGGAAAAAGUGCUCAUCUGUUGUCAAGAAACACAGUUGGCUCUUAGUUGCGAGAAGAGUAAUUUUAUGGUUCAAGAGGGCAUUUCUUGGCCAUAAAAUCUCCUGACAUGGGAUAAAGGUCGAUCAAGCGAAGAUCAAGACCAUCUCUCAUCUACAUCCCCCCACUUAUGUCAAAACCAUUCGGAGUUUCCUUAGUCACGCUAGAUUCUACCGAUGUUUCAUAAAGGACAUUUGAAACAUAACUCUUCCCUUAACAAAGCAUUUUUAAAAGGAUGUUGAGUUUCAGUUUUUUGAAAAAUACCUUUUGCUUUUAAGUUCUUGAAGGAGAAGCUAAAAAUGCUCCCAUCAUUGUGGCUCUUGAUUGAACACUCCUUUUCAAACUAAUGUGUGAUGCUAGCGAUUUCAGGCAACAAAAGGAAAAAUGUUUCCACCCUAUCUAGUAUGUAAGUAAGACGCUCAAUGAUGUGCAACAUAACUACACCACCACUAAGAAGGAACGGUUGGCUAUUAUUUUCAAAUUUCAUAAGUUCCAAUGAUACCUCAUACUAUCUCACAUGGUAGUCUUCACUGGUUACCAAGCACUGAGGUGUCUUUUUGUAAAACCCAAUGCGAAGCCAUAAUUAAUCUAGUGGGUCUUGCUGCUGCAAGAAUUUGACAUUGAGAUUUGUGAUAAGAAGGGUGUAGAAAAUGUCACAGCAUACCAUUUAUCUAGACUCAAAGGUCCAGAAGCAUCUCCCUCGACUGGGAUUUAGAUCAAUGAUUCGUUUCCUAAACAACAUUUUUUAGGGUAGUUGCUCAAGAAUUGGAAAGUCCUUCGUUUGAAAUAUUUGCCAACUAUUUGGCUACCGGUUAACUUCGUAAGGAUAUUUCAUGGAAAGAUAAGUGGAAGUUCUUUGACGAUCUUAAGCACUAUUUUGGUAUGACCCUUUUCUCUUCCACAUAUGGCCCGAUGGAGUCAUUCGUCAUUGUGUCACAAUUUCUUAGGCACACAACAUAAUCUGAUACUGCCAUUCAUGACUAACCAACGGCCACCACAAUUGUAACCAAACGACAAGAAAGGUUAUUGUGAAACCCGCCCCUAGACGACCCGGUCGAAUCGCCAUGCAACGACUCGCAAGUGCGACUAAAUCAACAUAAACAUAGAUACAUACAUAAUCAGAAAGCUAACUCAUGAAACUCCUCAUAAAUCAAGAAAACGACAACGUACAAAUCAGAUCAGCAAUGGCUCAACAUUAAUACCCAAAAUAACAUAAAACCAUCACGAAACAAAGGAGACAAACAUCCAGAGGUAAGGUAUUUGAAAAACAUAUUGAAAAUCCUCAAAAAUAAAAAAGGGUAAAGGGUCCUCCAAGGUACCUCUCUCUACGACUUUAAGAGCCACUUAGUUAAGGUAUCAGGCCUACUCGUAAGUUCCUCUUAGAAGGCAUUGACUUUUGAGGUUCCACCAUCGUACAUGCAAAGAAGAAUGGGAUGAGGUUAGUGAUAAGCACUGAGUGGAUAGUAAGACUCGCUUAGAACUGAGACUGACAUCUAAUAAUGUGACCCUGGUCCUAUAAGUAUCUACCUAGAAUCAACCACCCCUAACUAUAUGUGGAUAGCCUCAUGGUGGAUUAUACCAUGAAACCACCCAUGAAUACUAUAUGAGCAGCAUAUACAUGGAUGCUCUACACGUCCUGCCUGAAACAGAAAUAUCAACUGAAGGCUUGCGCAAUCCCGAGGUGGGUGACCGAUGCAUCAUAGUCAAGAACUAGCCUAGGAGGCAUAUCCUGUAUUGUACUGCCAGGAACUGUGGAUCACACGCCACAGUUGAUAAGUUAAGAAGUUAUGCUCGAUACAUGCUACAUAAUAUGUACUGUACAUCACAAGAUUUUGUACAACUUCAGAGCCCUGCUCUAUAUCAUGAAUUGAUAAUAUAUACAAUAGAUCACACGCUAGUGUAAAGCCUAAGAGUCUUUCUCUAUAUCACAUCACACCAUCUGUAUAGUAAAUCACACGUUACUGUACACAUUGAAAGCCCUGCUCUAUAUCACAUGAGAAAUCCAAUCAUUGGAUUCGUGAGCAUGCUAUUACAGUUCUACGCAUAUAAGCAGAAUGCAAUCCUAAUCCCCCACCUCUGAUUAGCUUCCUGGUAGAUUCUGAACCGUACCUACCUUUGUCAAGCUCAAGCCUCCUGUCCUGAAUGACCUGAAGAUAUCAAUCGUUGGAUUGAAAUCCCAAAACCCCAAAUCCAAAAACUGCCAGGAUUUUCUUAUGUGAGUUUCAAUCAAAAAGAUUAAGAGAGAAGAAGAAGAGUGGUACCUUCCGAUGGUUCUCCCAGCCUCUCUAACCCUCUCUCAAUGAUUUGGGAUCGACCAGCUCUAUCUUCUCCCCUUAAUUGGUAUUCUCCACCCCUUGAGAGAGAGCAUCGUUCGUCAGACAAUUUUAGGUAUUUGUUUCUGUAAAUUUUGAGUUGCCGGUCUCAGAUCUGGUUUUAUUACUAGUCCACCACUUUCGUGGCGGACUUACCACCAUGCCCAUGACUGCUUGACAACCAUGCUCGUGAUCUAAUGAUGGUCACAACUGUGAUGAGUCAAGCUCAUGACUGGCUGCUAAUCACGGCCAUGGUUGACCUAGCAACCACUCUUGUGAGAGGCUCAUGAUCACGCCUGUGAUCGUCCACUCUUCAGCCCAAAACCCAAUAGACUCAGACCCAAAAAACGGUUGAACAGUUGAAUCAAAAUUGGGGUGUUACAGUUCUAUAGUCUGUAUUUUUAUAGCCUUUGAUCUUUAAAGAUAAUGACCUAUUCACAAAGACCUUUGACGCGUUUCAACGCGCCGACUAUAUCUCACUGCGUAAUGAAAUGUCUUAGACGGUUGGAAAAUUGCUCCAACGUUUUUUCACUUGGUUUGGAGCACAUCAAGCUAUCAUCAGCGAUCGAGGAACUCACUUCCAGGGGAAGUUUGAUCAUGUGUGUUGCCGCUUUGGUGUCACUCAUUGUCUGUCCACUAAUUACCACCCAAAGACUAGUAGUCAAGCAGAGGUGACGAACCAAUAACUCAAGCAGGCAUUGGAGAAAACCGUGACCCAAUCUUGCACGGAUUGGUAAAAAAUGUUGGACAAUGCUCUUUGGGCAUAUCAAAGGGAUUUUAAAACUCCUAUCAUCCCUACACCUUACUGUCUCAUCUACGGAAAGGUAUUCCAUAUUCCUGUUGAGUUAGAGCAAGGUAGUUUAGGACUUGAAGUCUCUAAACCAUAACACAAAUUAGGUUGAACGACCAUACUCCAAGCAUAUCAUUCAUGUCAUCAAAUAUGUUGAACCGUAUAAUCUUAGGAGUAAUCAUGGAAUAAUCAUAUCUCCAAUGCAAAAUAACUAGCUACACAUGGUCUCCAAAGAGGAAGGGGAGAAACAGGGAAAACUUAGUCAAACCCAAUGGGUCAAUAGGGGAUUAACUAGCUCCGAACUUCACUUUGAUCUUUCAAUCUUCAAUCCAAUGCUCCUAGCUUCAUUGACCUUUAAUUUGAUCUUUUAUUGUGUCUUCUAGGGUUCCAAUGACAGUGGGAGAAGAGGGAAAAACUCACCCCAAGUCAAAUGGAUCAAAAUGGCCCGUUUGAGAAAACAUGAGCGCAACAUUGAUUCCAAGCGAAACUAGGUACCAAUAUCGGUCAUAUAUGUCGAAACGAGUCAAAAGAUAGUCAAGGUGGGUACGAUUAUCACCACAUUAUGGGGUGACACCAAAUUACCCCACACGUGAACAUUUCUCGUCCUCAAACAAUCAUGUUAAUCACAUUCUAAUAGGAAAAUAUGUGGGAUAGGAAAAACAAGGCCCCGCACUUCAAGCCUACUUUACGAUGUCAAAGGUGCAAGUGAAUCACCAAACCACAAAAUUAUGUACAAGACACUGAAUUCCUUAUACUAGUAAAAGAUGGACUUGUGCAUAUUGUACAAAUGACCUGACACCUAACCGCCAGAGUGUAUCAAACAUCUCCCUAAACACUUAUGUCAUUAGGGUAAUAGUGAAAGAAACUACAUUGACGGUCGGUCCUGGUCGGGUUUGCCCGUCUUGAGGGAAGGGGUGCUUUUCAAAAUAUUGUGAUAAAUCAUUAAAACACAAGGUACCCCCUCUCUUAUUUUGGUCUCACUUGCUUGAUUAUUGUCUUUAGGACUUUGUGGAGAUCUUCUUCUCUUUUUCUUUUCUUUUUGAUAUUUUUUUUUGUAUGGGUUGCUUUUUCCCAAUAGGGAUAAUUAUGACUCUAUCCAUCCAUUCUUGGAAAUAACCAUUCUCUGGCCCAUGACCAAUGCCUUGAAAGGGUUAGGAAGAUGGUGGACCCUAAGGGUUGCCCUGCGUGUUUAAGUUGUAACCAAACCCCUAUGAGAUUUGUUGGACUCAUUGGUCUCUUUAAGCGACCUCAUUCUUAAAAUCGACCCAUCUGUUUUGUCUUUUUAUCACCAAUAGGAAAACUCGUUUAAGAGGAUACAACAUACACCACAACAGAAGUUGGCAAUCCAUAUGUAUCAUUUGUAUGAGUCCCUAGUGUACUAGGUUUAGGAAAAUGGGAAGUGGUUCACAAAUGAAAUCCUAAACACCGUACUCAUCCACAAGUAGUAUGGGAACAUAAUACUAAGCAUGAAUCCACUAAUAUCCACAAAAUCAAGUUCGAGAGUGACUUUUAAAGAGAAAACGAGAACAAGUAUACAAAUAUGCACACGAGUAACCCACAAGAUGGAAGAACAAAGAAACCAUGGCAAGCAAUACCCCAACCCACAUCUAAACAUCACAUUGUUCUCAAUGGGACCAAACAAUAAGGAGAAUAAGGAAUAUGUUACAUCCCGAUCCUAGCUAACAAAAUUAUGUUAGGGAAUUCCUAAACUAUCCCAUAGAAAGUCUAGUAUAAAAGAAAUAUGUUAUGAGAAUAUUAGUACUCUUAUGUGAAUUAUUGUAUUAAUCCUUGCUGUGUUUAGUUGCAUCUAAUUUAUGCACUAAGGUUUGCUUGAUUCAGAAUUAAUUAGACUCAGUAUUACAUUUGAAUUAUGUUACGAUAUGUUAGCAGUUAUUAAUGAGUGUAUUGCUUAGUUUCUUAUGUCAUGUCUAAUGUUGUGAUAAUUAGAAGUAAUUAUUAACUUAAGUUUCCAAUAUAAGAUGUGAUAAAUUGUUGCUUGAUGUGCAUAUCACACCCAUAGGAAAAACCUAUCAAGAAUGUGCGAUAGUAAUUGCAAUUGUGGGAUUCACGUUAUUAUUAAAUAAGUAUGAAACAUGUUAUGUGACCAUAUGCCAUGUGCAAGUGGCUCCUUGAUUUCAUGUUACUAUGCUAGGGUAGGAAAUGCGAUGACCGGUUAGCUCAUAAAUCUUUAGAAAUUAAUUUGAAUGGAAUAAAGAUGGUGACUAGUAAGAAUUUAAAGUCCCCAACCGAAAUUGGACCACAAAGUCAGUUGUAGCCUAGUGGUUAAGUGUUUGAGCCCUUAGUGAAGAGAUGGCGAGUUUGAUUUCGAAAUUUUUUUAGGCUAUAUUAAAUCGGAAAUUACGUAGAUAAUCAAAUCGAAACCUUAAUUACAUAAAAUGGCAAUUAUCACCACUUACAACAUGCAGUGCGUCAUAGGACACGCAGCGUGUCUUAGGUGGCCUCUAACAUCUAGUUUCUAAUGGCCGGGGGGGGGGGGGGGGAAUGUUAUGAAUAAAUUUCGCCACCCCGAUGAGUCAAAGGAUUUGUUCACCUACUUCGGAGAAGAAAUGAAGUACGAUUGCGGAUUUUGUGCACCGAGACUGAUGACGCUGAUGUUCGAGAAAUAGUUCAAUUGUCCUUUCUAUAAGUGUAGGUUUGAGAAGAAGUUGGAGGUGGUGUUGGCUGAUAACUCGGUGAGGCGUGAGAUGCGAGCUACAAUGGAGGCAAAGCUUGCUGAGAAGGAUGUUGAGAUUGAAGCUAUUCAUGCUGAGAUGGCGCAUGAUUGUUUCAAAUGGCAACGGGAGAGGAUAGACAUCAUACGGUCAAAGGAUAGGUUCAUCGAGGCAAUUAGUGACGACUUGAAGGAUGAAAAUACGAAGCUUAGGUUUAGGGUGGUGUAAUAUUUACAUACCUUUUAUUCAAUGUUGAAUGAAAGAAUUGAUCGUUUGUAAUAAAUUGGUUGUGUUUCGAAUUGUUUUAGUUAAUGAAACAAUUUUUAUCCUAACUGUCAAAAGCUGAGUUACUGAUAAUUUUCUGGUCAAAAGAUGCCAAAGCUGUUUGAAUCCUGCCGCAAGCAGUAUGUUUCGAUCAAAAGAUGCUAAAGUUGUCUGUAGUUUUUUAGCCAAAAGCUGUACAACCCGUGGUCAAAAGCUGGCACUGUUGCCUAAAGCUAUUACCAGCUGUAAAUGUGAUGGGGAAUCUUGUAGAUGAUUGGAAGUAAUAUGCUGGUUGAGGGAAUAUGUUGUGGCAUAUCCUGCUGUAAUAUUACCCUCUCCCGUCUAUUUCAACACAUACCUCCAUUGCUCACAACUCACAAAUUAUGAGCACCAAUUUGUAACUCAUUCUGCCUACUUUACUUCUCCUCUCUAUCCUUCUGAAUAGAAAAUGGUUGAGUUCGCCUUCAAUCUUCAAUGGGGGGGGGGGUGGGAAUCUCUUUUACCCGAAUAUCAGAGUUGAGUAUGCUGGUGGUCAUUCCCGGAGAGUGAACUUGAGUUCAGCCCCAACAUUCGCCUGAGCCAUUCCCGUUUUCUUCAAGAAAAUGAAGACCCCAUCGGAGGCCAUCCUCGGAACUGUGUACUAUCGCCAAACUAUGGUAGCCAGCGACACUAUUGCUGGUAUUGCCUCCGGCCGUGCACCGAUGAAGAGGCUUGAGGAGCCGUCGACUACAUGGUAAAUACCUUCCCUAUGUGCAAAAUUUGGAGUUGUAUUUGAGUUCAAAGGUCCAAUCGACAAAGUUUAAGGCUUAGUUGGUCAAUCCUCAACGACUGGGUACUUUGAACCCUCUGGUUCAUAGAACAUUGACGAGCUGUCACAGUGCGGCGUAUAACCCACCGAUGAUGCCGUGGAUGAAGACGAUGUUGACGAUGAGCCAGAGUACGAUCCGACUAACAACAAUGGGGAAGGGGAAGAUGACCAGGCCUCGAGGGAGGACAGCGACGGUACGCCGAUUGGCCUCUCCAUCCAGAGGGGGAAGAUGCUGAUGUUAUAAUCGGUGCGGGCGCUACAACAUCUUCUCGUGCCCUACUCCGUCUGAUCUGUACACAACGUUGGGGGACAAUAUGGACCAGGUAAUGACGGUAGACGACUAAGAGGGUGGCCCUGAUAUCUCGAAUUUCAACUCCACCCGUCAACAUUUUUACACCGACCAGCGGUUUACACAAAGAAGGAGGCAAGUCUUGCUGUUAAUCACUGUGCCUUUCAUAACAAUCGAGCUCUAAUGACGUCUUGUUCAAAGACUUGGGAGUUGAAGGUCAGAUGUUAUUCGUACGAAACAAACAACUACCCAUGGAGGUUACACGUCACUAGCAGCACAGACGACGGUUUCUGGACGGUUCGGUUGUGGAAUCCACAACACACAUGUGACGGAAGCGAGCACAACAUAGAAUCUACCAAACCGGAUGUGAACGUCAUUGCGGAUGCCGUGAUGCACCUAGUUUGGUCAAGGCCACACCUUUUUGGAUCCGUCUGAUCUAAGAUGUGAUUUCACAUCUUUUCCAACGUCAGAUGUCGAACAGAAAGGCGUGGUAUGGGAAUCAGAGAGCUAUGGAGAUGAUCUAUGGAAAUUGGGAGGAGUCUUACAACAAGCUUCAAUAUUUCUGUAACGAAGUGCAGAGUUGUAACCCUGGCACUCACGUCCAGUUCCGCUUUGAUGACUUAAUCGGUGGUGUCGUUGUUCGGAGGCAAUUUUUUCUGUAUUCUGGAUCUUCCGGCCGUGCAUUAAAGGGUUCCGAAAUUAUCUACCUAUCGUAGUUGUUGACAUCACCUUCCUCACCAGGAAAUAUUUUGACGGUCGCCGUAGCCAUCAUCGACAAAGAGAGCAUUGACACCUAGGCGUGGUUCCUCUAUUGCAUCCAAGAGCUAGUGACAGACAGGCAGAACGUAUGCGUCAUCUCAUAUCGUCAUGUCGGACUUAGAGCUGCAAUGGACCAAAUUGGUGGGGGCUGGGUCUGGAGAUAGUGCAGCCAACACUAUGAAAGCAACUACAAUAGCCAUGUGAAGAACCCCAACAUGAAGGCACGACUGAAGUCCAUAGGUAAAUUUCCCCUCACACAUGUUGCAAGAAAUACGCGGCAGACAUUCGUGCUAAUGAAUAUUGAACUGAGAGGUGUCAUGCGACUAUCCGUUUGGGCGAUAUGAAAAAUAAUAUCACGAUAAGUUUGGGUCAUCUCUUUCAUUAGAUGUUACCGCUUUCUUAGGAUUUAAUUUUGGGGGGAUGAUAAGCUUUGUACCCGAGCUUAGGUGAAACUUAGAAAAAUCAAAGGUAGUAUGCGCACUGCGGGUCAUAAAUCGACACAGUUUGUGAACCUUCUCUCUAGGGAACACCCCACCUUUACAUUAGUAUCAAUAGAAACAUGCCAAAGCCAACCCUAAGUCCUAGAGCCUCUCCCCCGCUAUAUCAGCAAAAUUGAACCUAGGUGAAUGUACUAACCCAAUGUGUACUAACCCUUGGCUGACUAACAUCCCACCCGAGAUUGCACGGAUACCACAUCCGAAAAUACGUGCAUCCAUCAUGAACAUCAUAUCAUCAAUUUCAAAACUAUUUUAUAAUGUGCGUCGGAUCCCAACUCACGCAUAAUACGAGGGUAGGAUUCAAGCGUACAUAAUGAAUGCACUUGGCGUUUACGCAUAUGCAUCAAAUCAUUUUACACAAAGGGCAUCUUGUUGUGUCGUGAGUAUCAUGAUUUAAAACCAGCAUAUAAUGUAAGCCAAGACUCGAGCCAUACACCUACUGUGUUGAGAAGGUCCAAGCGCACAUUCAUACAUGUGCUUUGCAAAUUGGUGACGCCAUUUUAAAAACUAUGCAUUUCAAAUGCCUUUGAAAAAGAGUUCAAAAACGAGGUUUGAGAAACUCGAGGUUCAUAGGGGAAAAGCUCACCGCAACCAUUCGUUCGAUGGCAUCCAUAUCAGAGCAUACCAUUAUAGCGCAUUCCAAGAAAGCUAAAUGACAGGAACCAUCAACAACGAGAUAUGCUCAGAUUUAGACUAGUUAAGGGACACAAAUGCGGAUCUACAAGUUCUAAUCAACGAAUUGCUUGAAGCACUCCCAUGUGGCUACGAUGAUUCAAGUUUAGAGCUCACAAACGGACAAAAAAAUUCAAGAAGCCUAUGGAGGGAGUCAAAGGACUCGACGCAUACGAAGCGACCAAGGCAUUUCGACAUCAUUUGGUACCAAUGAUGGUCAUGCAACCAAAGUUUGAAGUGCCUGAUUUCAAAAGAUUCGGAGGCAUCACUUGCCCUCAAAUCUACUUGGCCAGGUAGUACGACCAAAUGACAGGAUACAUGCAUGAUGAUAAGCUAAUGAUACAUUGCUUCCAAUAUAGCUUGGAUAUAGCAUCCCAAAGGUGGUACGCAGGCCUCGAAAGCUCGAAAAUCAAGACAUGGCAAGUCCUGGUCGAAGCUUUCAUAAGAAAUUACAAGCACAACCACGACUUAGCCCCAAACAGAGAGGACCUAAAGAAUAAAAAGAAGAAAGAUGGUGAGAGUUUCCGAGAGUGUGUCCAUAGAUGGAGGGACGUUGCCGCUGAAGUUCAACCACCACUAGCUGACAAGGAAAUGAUCUCGAUUCUCCUUGAGACCCUCCGAGCUCUGUUCGAGAAUAACAUACUCAGAAACAUCACUACCAAUUCCCUUGACUUGCAAAUUAUCUGAGAAAGCAUAGAGAAAGGCCACUUCUAAGGAUCAAAGCCCAUCCAAGCAAGAAAGUGCAUCCAUCACGAAAGAAGGAAGAGAUACGUGUUGCUCGUAAGGGCAGGAUGGGUGAACAUGUUUCCCGAGGAAAAGGAUCGCCCUGACAUCAACAAGGUCCCGAUGUCGAAUCAUCAAACUUGUGUGACCGCAGGGAAAGUAAUGACCGUGGGCUCACUUUUCGAAAUAAUAAAAGUACUUGGAUGUUUUGAGUUGAGCAUUUCCCCUUUGUGUGUUUGUAUUAAACUCUGAAUUUCAAAAUGGUGUUCUACGUGAAACACACUAAAUAAAAGUCAUUUUCUUUCUAGCAUUCCGUGUCAAAACCGCAUUCAUUUUUCCUCGCAUUCUUUUCUCCAUACGAACUUUGGCAAGAUAACUGAGACGGGUAGGAGGAAUAAUAAUUAUCAUGACUUCGAAAUUAACUUCGAUAAUCCGAUUUGUGAAACGAAAACCGGGGAUGAAGAGGAAAUUGGGGAAGAAGUACGGUUGGACACCGUUUGGAUCUUGGAAUAGGAGGAAAGGAGUCUACAAUCCUUCUACCACUUGUUCAAGACAACUAAUUUGGGUACAUACGAGAUUAAGAAAGAGGUUAAGAUAGGGGAUGAGCUAAGCCCAAUAGAACGGGAGGAGCUAAUUCAACUAUUGGGGGAAUAUCAGGACAUCUUCGCAUGGUCGUAUCAGGAUAUGUUGGGUUUAGACGGAAGUAUCAUCACACAUUGCUUACCUAUCAUGGAGGGGUAGAAACCCGUGAAACAUAAGCUUCGAAGGUCGAAAAUCAAGUGGCUUCUGAGGAUUAAAAAGGAAGUUAAGAAACAAUAUGCGGCCAGCUUUCUCCAAGUAACCGGUUACUCAGAAUGGGUGGCCAAUAUCGUACCAGUCCCUAAAAAGAAUCGAAAGGUGCGAAUGUGCGUUGAUUACCGGGACUUGAAUCGAGCAAGGCCGAAGGAUAGCUUUCCCCUACCCCACAUCGACGUGCUCGUCGAUAAUACGGUGAGCCAUCAAGUGUUCUCGUUCAUUGAUGGUUUCUCUGACUACAAUCUAAUGAAGAUAUAACUUGAGGACUGGGAGAAAACUUCGUUUACCACGCUCUGGGAACUUUUUGUUAUAUCGUGAUUCCAUUCGGAUUUACAAAUUUUGGGAAGCAUAUCAAAGGGUAGUGGUCACUCUUUUCACGAUAUGAUUCAUAAAGAAAUCGAAGGAUAUGUGGAUGACAUGAUCGCUAAGUCCAAAAGCUAGGAGGAUCACAAGGAUACCCUCUUGAAAUUAUUCAAAAGACUAAGGAAAUAUAAGCUUCGACUAAGUCCGGAAAAAUGCACCUUCGGAGUUAUGUCAGGAAAACUCCUCAGAUUCAUAGUAAGCGAGAGGGGCAUUGAGGUGGCUCCAAAUAAGGUCAAAGGCAUUGCCGAAAUGCCACCACCUCAGACACAAAAGCAAGUGCGUGGGUUUCGGGGCGGCUGAACUACAUUUAUCGGUUCAUUUCGCACCUAACCCCAACAUUUGAGCCCAUCUUCAAACUCCUCCGAAACAACCAACCAUAUAAGACCACUACUCUUGUACUUAACGGUCUUCAAAAAUUUGGUAGGAACUAUGCUAGCCCUAACUGACUAGUCAGGGAAAAAGGAACACACUAUUUACUACACUAGUUAGAAGUUCACCGAUUAUGAGUCUCUAUACACGGACCUCGAAAGGACGUGUGGAGCGUUGGUAUGGACAGCCAAGAGAUUAAGGCAUUACAUGUUAUACUACACGACACACCUCUUUUCAAAGGUCGAUCCCAUGAAACACAUCUUCGAGAAACCCGCUCUUACAGGUUGCCUAGCAAGGUGGCAGGUUCAGCUAGCCGAUUACGAUAUCCUGUACGGCCAAAAAAGUAAUGAAAGGAAAUCCGAUAGCUGACCACUUGGCGGAAUACCCAAUAUCUAACUUGGACUCUUUAGUCUCGGAGUUCCCUGACGAGAGUAUUUUGAUCAUGAACAAAACACAACCUUGGAUCAUGAAAUUUGACGGGGCAUCCAAUGCCCUCAGAUACAGUCUAGGUCCAAUGCCCUCUGAUACAGUAUAGGUGUGGUGUUCUUGUCCCCCAAUCGAAAAAUGUACCCCAUCACCGCCAAGUGGACGUUCUACUAUACUAACAACGUCGCCGAGUACGAAGCAUGUUCCCUUGGUAUCUGAUAAGCCAUAGAAAUGGGGAUUAAGAAACUCAAAGCCUACAGAGACUCUUUACUCGUUAUCUAUCAGUUGAGGGGAGAAUGGGAAAUGUAGGAUGAAAAGCUUAUACCCUACCAUAAACACAUCAAGGUAAUGAUGGAAAGCUUCUAUAGCAUUGAGUUAGAGCAUAUAUCGAGGACCGAUAACCAAAUCACGGAUGCCUUGACUACGCUAUCAUCUAUGCACAUGUUGGGAGACCAAGACAUUAUUCCCCAAAUUUAGAUCCAAAAGCAAGAGGACCCAUCCUAUGUAGCUAGUGUAGAAGAGGAGUCAGACGACAAACCAUGGUACCAUGACAUAAAACCUACUUCCAAAGCAAAGGAUACCCACCAUGGGCAUCAGAAAAUGACAAAAGGACUAUUCGGAGACUCGCUCUAGGGUUCUACAUUGAUGGAUCGACCCUCUAUAAAUGAAACCAUGAUCUUACCCUCCUUUGAUGUGUAGACGUUAAAGAAGCAAGGUAAAUUGUCGAGGAAGUUCACGAGGGUAUUUGUGGCACUCACUCCGGUGGACACGCCAUGGCCCAAAAGAUCCUAAGGACAAGAUACUAUUAGACUCGUAGGGAAUCGGACUACAUCACAUAUGUUCGCAAGUGUCACAAAUGCCAAAUUUACGCUGAUGAACUUCACGCGCCACCAACCUCCUUGAAUGCAAUGUCAUCGCCUUGGACGUUCACCGUCUAGGGCAUCACUGUAAUAUGAAUGAUUGAACAAAAAGCAUCGAACGAUCACCGAUUCAUCCUAGUCGCCAUCGACUAUUUUACCAAAUGAGUAGAAGCAGCCUCAUACGUCAGUAUAACCAGGAGUGUAUUAGUUAAGUUCAUUAAGAGGGAAUUCAUCUUCCGGUACGGACUUCAUAAGAGAAUCAUUACAGAUAAUGCCAAAAAUCUCAAUAAUAAGAUGGUGAGUUCAAGAUCAAACACCACAACUUGGUCCCUUAUAGGCCUAAAAUGAACAGGGUAGUCGAAGCCGCUAAUGAGAACAUAAAAAAGAUAGUGCAUAAAUGCUCAUCACAUACCGAGAUUGGCACGAGAUGUUACCAUUUUCAUUUCAUGGAUAUCGAACUUCCAUCAGGACCUCAACAGGGAUAACACCUUACCAGCUAGUCUACAGAAUGGAAGUCGUGCUCCCCGUGGAAGUAGAAAUCCCUUCACUCAAAGUAUUGAUGGAAGCAAAACUAGAUGAAGCAUAGUGGGUACUGGCUCGAUAUGACCAGCUGAACCUAAAUGAGGAAAAGGGGUUGGUUGCGGUCCAUCAUGGUCACUUGUAUCAAAGACGAUUAAUACAGGCAUUCGAAAGGAAAGUAAAGCCCAUAAAAUUCCGAGAGGGCGAAAUGGUAGUUAAGAGCAUACCCCUAAAAUAGGGACCCUCGAGGAAAAUGGACCCCCAAUUACGAAGGACCAUUUGUGGUUAAACGAGCAUUCUCUGGAUGCGCCCUUAUAUUAGUGAAUGGCGACGGAGAAGAAUUGUUGAAUCCCGUCAACUCCUAUAAAGUGAAGAAGUACUACGCUUAAGUAUGUUCCCCAAGGUUUCCAAAAAAGAUUAUCGAGUUAUGCUUUGAGGUUAAUGAUAAUUCUUAUUAUUUUGUCCCCGUGUUUGUGCCUUGUUAAACGUUCAAAAGCUGGAAUAGGAAACCAUUUGACAGUCUUUGACUAAGUAGAUGUAUAGGUUUCCCGUUCUAAAAUGAAUAGAGUCAAAAGAGUUUCUUUCAAAACCGAAGGGAAAUUCUUAUUUAGAAAUGCGCAACGACUUUUAAAAUUUCCGAAAGAAAUAAACCACUUUUCACUGUGGGCCCGAGAUGGCAAGAGGUCCCCCGGCAAGUAAAUACUCUCCGUAAACAAGUCAGAAUUAGAUCAAUCAUCGAUCAACGAGGUUGCACGGUCAUGAUUGUGGCAAGUAAAAGGAAAGACAUCAUCUUAAUAAAAGAAAUAAGCCAAAGAUCAUAAGUGUAUCGAAAUAGCCAAGCCAUCGAUGAACGAAGGUGUGUGGCACGGCUUUUCCCCCGCGUCCCUAUUUUGUUUGCCAAUUCUCUAAACUCAUGCUUUCAUUUUAAAUUUCUUUACUUGCAUCCAUGUAUACAUUCCGAUACAUUUACUGCCUGGUUAAAAAAUAAACUCGUGUGGAGUGUUGAGCAGUGUGCCGACAUCAUCAAGACAGACUGUAAUAAAUAGUGCUUAAAAUUCUGAGAUAGACAAAGUGGUCAAGAUAAAAAGGAUAAGACAGUGUGAUCCAAAGAAGGGGACGCACCGCCAAGUCACCGCAGUCUCUCAAGUGUCGGCAUGAGAGCAAAACAAAGGAAAGUAAAUAUGUGACCCUUCUUUUUGUAAAAAAUGAGGUUUUAACCGUUUGCAAAACGGUGGGAUGCGACAUGUUGGCCUCAUAGUCGAGUAGCCGCGUAUUCAAACACCAUCAUCUGGACAUUAACAGCGGCAAUAGCACUAACUGAAGAGGAUUCUAGAAUAGCAACGGACAGCAUGAGCAAAGUAUGAAGGGUGGAGUGGAUCACUAAGAAUGGCUGGUGGCCGACAAGGGAAUGGAGGGGCAUCAUGCCAUCCUUCCUUUCAUCAUCUCAAAACAUCGAUGACAAUGGUUAGGAAAUUUGGUACCAACGACCAUAAAAAGAAAGCUUAAAACGAAUCUACCUCUCAUUCUUGACACUCCAAGAAAAUACGUUGAAUCCGUGCACCAAGAGCUAUCACUCGCGGCCGAGCGGGAACCUUGCAAUCACACACCUUGAAUUGCCAGUCUUAACAAGGGUUCGACUCAGCCAUGAGUAUCUAUGAAGUUACCGACCGAUCAACUCAAGGAAAAGAUUCUCGUGAAAGCCGAUAUAUUAUAAAGAGCCGCCCGCGACGAUAUUUAAAAGCGAUGGACAGACCUGCCAAUAAACUCCAAGGGAUGAAGCAAAUGGUGCACCUACCUCUCAAACAUAGUGGCUCAAACUUCCCCAGCAGGAAGCUAAGUCCCCACCACUAUUUAUCAACAAGGCAGAGUCGUGUAAUAUACGCUCAACGCUCCCAACGAAAAUUCUCAAGGAAGUUUCCUCACCAUUAUUUUCAAAAAUCAUAUCAAUGGUUUUAACUCCAUAUCAUGCAUAGUACUAUUAUUUCUCAUAUCAUGACAUGAUUACAAUUAAUCGGCAAAGAUUCUAUCCCUAACCUUAGGAUAGGAUCGUCCCAAAAAGAGAUUUUGGUCCUGUCUCCUAACGUUAAAUGGAUUUCUGCCAUUUUCCGGGUUAUAAACGGAAAAUCAAAAAUCAUUUCAAAGUAUUUUAGCCGUUUUCCGGGCUAUAAAUGGAAAACCAAAUAUCAUUUCAAACUACUUCGGCUAUUUUUCCGGGCUAAAAACAAGAAUACCAAAAUAAUCUUCAAAGAAUUUCAGCCGUUUUUCCGGGCUAUAAACGGAAAACCAAAAAUCAUUUCAAGAAUUUCAGCACUUUUUCGGGCAAUAAACGGAAUACCGAAAUUCACCUCAAUGAAUUUCAUACGUUUUUUGGGGUAUAAACGGAAUACCAAAAUUAUCUCCAAUAAAUUUCAGCCAUUUUACCAAGUUAUAAACGGAAUAUACAAAAAUUAUCUCUCAAGCAUUUCAACCAUUUUUUUGGUCUAUAAACGGAAUACCCAAAAAUUAUUUCAAGAAUUUCAGCGGUUAUUCCGGGGUUUAAACGGAAUACCAAAAAUCAUAUCAAGAAUUGUAGCCGUUUUUUCAGGCUAUAAAUGAAAAACCAAAAAAUCAUUUCAAGAAUUUCUGCCGUUUUUUGGGCUAUAAACGGAAUACCAAAAAUCAUAUCAAGAAUUGUAGCCGUUUUUUCAGGCUAUAAAUGAAAAACCAAAAAAUCAUUUCAAGAAUUUCUGCCGUUUUUUGGGCUAUAAACGGAAUACCAAAAACAAUUUCAAGAAUUUCAGGUGUUUUUCGGACUUUAAACGGACCACUUUAUUAUUUUCGCCUAAAGUCUAGGCCCAAAAGUUAUUUUCAAACGGAUUUUCCUCGUGUAUUCGGACGUUAAACGAAUUUAGUUGUUUUCUGGUCUUUAAAUGGAGUACCCUAUUAUUUUCGCCAUGUCUAGGGAAAAAAUUAUUUUCAAACGGAUUUUUGUCAUGUUUUCAUACGUUAAACUAACUCAGCUGUUUUCCAGGCUUUAAACGGAGCACUAUAUUAUUUUCGCACGUGCCCGAUAAAAAUUAAUUUUUAUUAUUUUAUUGAUGGUCCGGGUCUCAUCUUGCGAUUUGAUAGAUUUUAAGAUAGAUAAGGCAGUUGAAAUUUGGUGCUGAAAAUAGGGAUAAGGAUGGCGGAAUUAUACCCGAUAAUUGAAGUAUAAUUUUGGCUGAAUUUUAGGCGAGUUCAAUCGACCAGGUAGUUUAUCCGGUCGGAUUCUCUCGUUUGUAUGUAAGCCGGUUUAGGUAAACCAAUGAAAUUCUCGGGUAUAAUGUCCGGUUUCAUUAGACUAAUCGCCUAGACCGCUCAUAAGUGCCUAAGGAUAAAAGUUUUGAUUUAAAUGCGAUCCAAUUAAGAUAAUUUUCGGGCAUAUUUUGGUUAAAUCGGUUCAUUUGAGGUGUCAUUCAGUGUAAAAAGACUGUGUUGCCCCUGAGCAUUUAUUGGGUCUGCCGACCAGUCAAACUCAGCUCAAUUUAGAACCGAAUCGGUCUAGUCAACAUUUAUGUGGUAGGCUGACCAGUCAAACUCGAGUGGGUUCGAAUCAAAUCGGUCGGUUGAAUAGCUGAGUGGAUGGUUAAAAUUUUAAGAUCGGAUAGAGGAUUAUUUUCAUCUUUUAAAUCCAAUUCUUUCGAGAUAAGAAUAUUCAUUUAUGUGCCAAAUUUUAUUGAAAUCCCUAAGCUUAAUUUCGAAAGAUUUAGAGUGAUUUAUGAUUUUUUUAGACGAAUGUGGGUGAAAUCGCGAUAUAAAGAGGUAAACGGGUCUGUUUUACCCGAACCGGUUCGAGUUCAGACCAACCGAGCUAGGCCCAGCCCACUAGGGAACGCUAGGCUUAAGUGGCGGAAUAGGAUAGACUAGAAUAGGGGGGAGAUAUAGUAAGGGUCUAUUGAGUAUUCCACUACUGAUCUACCCCUUUUGGUAUGCAUAUAAUUUUGGAUGAGUUUUAAGCAAGUUCAAUCAACUAGGUAGUUUAUCCAAUUCGAUUCUCUCGUUUGAAUGUAAUCCGGUUUAGGUAAACCAAUGAAAUCCUGUCGUUUAAAUAGAAAGGUGCAGGGAGAGGAAAGGAAGAAGAGGAGAAAGGAAAUGCUGUUAUUUUGAUUACAUCCAGCAUAAGAGCAAAAAUCAGAAACACAUCAAAGAAAAAGAAACAAAAGAUAGAUUAAUUCGAUUACAACCCAUCAUUAAUCACCCUCAAGUCACACUCAAUACUCAUUUGAAACCCUUCCACUCUCCAAAAUCCCCCUCGAAACUCCAACCUUUCGCUAAAAAAUCCACACAUACACAUUCUACACACUCGAACCCUCGGUCUAAGUGAAAUACCACCAUCAAACGCCUCCACAGAACCGGAUCAAUCACCAUUAAAGCCAUCUCGCAAGGAAAAGAAGUCACCCAUUAGUGCUCAUUGCAAAAACUAACCCUCACAUCAAAGGUGAAAGGUACUUAAACGAAAAACGCUAAGAAUACCUAUUUCACUAAGCAUAUUUAGAACAUGUCAUCAUCAUCAUCAUUAAACUUGCCAUGAGUUAAGUGAAAAAAUGUUGGAUUAGGUAGGUUAAUAGUCACGAAAUGCACUACUAACCUUUCACCUUAGAUCCCUUUUGAUAUUGGUUUGACAUAUAUGCCUUGCUUCAUGAAUAUGAUGAAAGUUAAUUCGUAACUAGCUAAACAUGUGAUUAAGAGUUUAAAGAAAUCAAUGUGGGGGACUUUUCGAAAACCUCUUUUAAAUUGAUAUAGCUAGUUACUACCUUUGAAAAUGGACAAAACAAGGUUAAGUGACUCCUAGUGAAUUCUAACGUGUACCUAAACUGGCAUCACAACUCAGAAUUACCCCAGUUCCUUCACCCAUGUCAUAGCCAUAUAUAAAUAAAAAGACAAUCAUAUUACACAUUAAUAUGUAAGACAUGUGUUGGUUUGGAGAUACAACGCAAUUUAAAGAUGGGUUUGUUGCAUAUGAAUUAAGAACCUGAUCACUCAACAAUUAACAACCAAUAAACUGAAUCAAUCCUAGUAAAACCAUACACGAGAAUGAGUUAAUGGGUCUUGAUGGUUUGAUUGUGACUUUGUUUAGCCAAUUCAUAUUAUAAGUACUCUAUGCACUAAAAAUGAGCAUAAUCAAUAGAGGAUGUACCCUUAAAAUCUAAGGUACAUAUAGGUUUCUUUCCAAUCCACAUUUUCUGAGGGGUUUUGUAGUUGAUAGUGGAGGAGGGAGAUUGGUUUAUGAGGUAGGCAGCUGUAACCACUGCCUCAACCCACAGUGACAGUCUCAUACGUGAAUUUAUCAACAUACAACAGGCUUUUUCAAGCAAGGGUACGAUUCAUCCUCUCAGUAGUCCCGUUCUGUUGAGGGGUACCAGGUAUAGUGAGGUGUCUUUUGAUUCCAUUCUCAAGACAAAAGGAAUUAAAUUUGGUGUUACAGAAUUCCAAUCCGUUGUCACUUCGAAGGCACUUUAGUUUUAAACCAGUUUGGUUUUCAACUAAGACUUUCCAGUCUUUGAAGGAAUCAAAAGCAUCACUCUUUGCUUUCAGAAGUCUUAUCCAAACUUUCUGAGAGAAGUGAUCUAUUAAGGAAAGAAAUAUUUCUUCCCUCCAAUAAUAUCCACUUGGGCAGGGUUCCAAAGAUCAAAAUGGACAUACUCUAGAGGCUUCUCAGCGACGUAAGCAGAUUUACUAAAGUUAUGCCUAGUUUUCUUGCCAAACACAAAAUCUUCACAAAAAGAAAGAUCACUAGGAUGCUUCUCUAGAAGACCAUGUUUAAACAGGUGUAACAGACCAUGGUUACCAAUGUGACCAAGCCUGGAAUGCCACAGCUUGGUGUAAGCAAGAUCACCAUGCUUGACAGUAUUCUGAACUGAGUUUAACUCAGGAGACCCAACCAAAUGAUACAGACCAUCGCGUUUAACUCUAAAAAUUACAACAGAACCAUGCUUAACGACAUCCUUUAUACCGUUAUGGCUGAUGAUUUAACAAUUCAAGUCAUCAAACAUUGAUUCCGACAGAAGGCUCCUCCUCAAAGCAAGAACCCACCUGAUAUUUUGAAUCAACCUAACGACCCCAUCAUGCAUGUGCAUGGGGAUGGAACCAAUUCCCUUAGUUUCUAAAGUAGUGUGAUCCCCUAACAUGACCUCACCCCCACUAUACGUAGUUAAAGAGCUAAACAGGUCACAGUUGGGGAAAGCAUGAAUGUUACAACCAGAAUCAAGAAUCCAGUUAUUAGAGGAGCAUUUAGAGUCAAGCAAGAGCAAUUCAGAAUAUUCAAGGCAAGUUUCAAGGAAAUUUGAAACACUUGACUUAUCAGACUCUUUCAUUUUUCCAUCUUUAACACAUUGGUGACAGUCUUUAGCAUAAUGACCUUCUUUACCAUAGUAAAAAAAAGUCACUGUUUUGGAGUUGGAAGGAAGAAGACAUAUCAGUUUUCUUCUUCUUCCAAUUCUACUUUUAUCUUUACCUUUAACCAUUAACACUUCAGUCUUAGGUUCAGUUUUAGAUUCACCCUUAGGUUCACCUUUAGUUCUGAGCUUCUGUUUAAAGAUUCUGAGUGUAUCGUCCUUUUGGGAGAUAGCCUCAACAAUCUUCUUUACAGUGAGCUCAUCCCUACUAUAUUGAAUAACAUCUUUCAAGUUAUCGAAUUGAGCAGGCAUAGAAUUAAGAAGCAAAACAGCUUGGUGAGUUUCAUCAAUAACAUCACCACAUCGAUUUAGGUCAUGAGUCAUCCUAAGGAAGCUAUCAAAAUUUUCAGACAGAGACACAGAGACAUCCAUUUUGAAUGUAAACUGUUUACUAAGCAGAGAGACUCUAUUAGGCAAAGUUUUAGAUUAAAAAAUGGACUCAAGGCCUUCCCAUAAAGUUUUGGGAUCAGUGAAUGUUACUACUUGACGAACAACGUUGUCAGCAAGUCGGAUAAGGAUCUCUGAGUGUGCUAUCUCUCGUGUUUCUUCCUUCCUUAGGUCAGAGGUGGUGGCAAGCCAGUUUUUAGUGAUGGCAGCCCAACACUUCUCCUUUACAAGCACUGCUCACAUUUUGAUCUUCUGGAUCGCAAAGUCGCUGUUCCCAUCAAACAGUUUGAGACGGUAACCCUCCUACUUGUUUCAAGAAAACAAUAAGAGAGGUUAGAUCACAUCAAAGUCUUUCGAGCCAGACUCUGAUACCAGAUUGAACGAUUAGAGCGAGCAAGGCAGCUGAACGACAAAACCCUAAUCGCUGCAAGAAAUCGAACGAAAUCUAAACAUCCACAACAACAGGAUUGAUGACGUAGUUCAGGUCACAAAGACCCCAAUCUGCGGAGUCUCAGGAGGGGGAGACUCAGCCCGGAAAUCCACUAGAUCACAAUAAGCAGAAUCUGAGUACAAGAGCAGAAACGGUAACAGAUCUACCCAUACUAGCAUGCAACAACACAAGACGAUAUUACAGAGUAAGGACUCGGAGAAGAAACUAACCCUAAGGUCUCGAAGCGACGGCAUAAGCUCUGAUUAUCCAAACCCUAGCAGCACAGACAGUCCUCUCGAGACCUUCUAUCUAUCUUCUCUCUCUUUCACAUGCGUUCUAGUCUAUGUUCCCACAACUUCCUGCUUAUAUAGAUGGGCCACGGGUCAACCAGUGGACUGACCCAUCCGAUGAGUUGCCUCGGGCUGACCCUAAGAGUAUUGGGCAUGGGCCACAAGGCCAACGGGAUGGUUGUGUGUCUUUUGAGGAAAAUGUUCAAGAGGGGCUGGUCAUCCUCAGAAGGUGAAGGGGAAACAUGAUGCAUUGUCUUGGGUUGUUUAGUUGAGCUUGUUGAAAGAAAGUUGAAAGAAGAAUUAGCAUCUAGUCUUGCACAUAAAAACGCGAGUCUGUACACAAACGAAAAGCCGAACAUAGCAUAUGAUCGGAGAAACAAAUCCCACAUGUGAGCAGUUUGUGUAGGCUGUAGCCGGAAUUUGGGGAAGCAAACAAUACCAAGAGAGAUGAUAAACAAAUGCAUAAAAGGUUAUAAUGUAGAAAGACUCUAAAAAACUAAAUAGCAAGCAGGCAAACAGAGAAAUGGUUAGAUGAUGAAAUCAAGUAGAAGCAUCAUUAAGGGCCGAUAAAGCAGCCCCUGAAAACAUAAUUCCAUGCUAUUUCAGAGAUUAACACAAAUAAUCAAACCGUGAAUCCAAGAUCUUACAUCAUGGCGUUGAUCAAAAUCCCUUAAUUCAAACAAAGCCAUUCUAUCACUCAUAUAUCUAGCAUAUCUUUAAAUUGCCAAGCAUUUUCCUCAGGUAUGCAUUAAAUUGAAAUUUUGGUGGAAAUGAUGACGGGAUAACAAAGCAAAUACAGGUUAAUGUACAACCUGAAACCAUACAAAUGUUGGCUAAAUUGACCUAGCAUUCAAGGUAUAGCAGGGUGAAGUAGAAAUAUGAGCACGGAACACAACCAAACUAAAACAUCAUAAAAUUUGCAAAUGAAGGUGUGAGGAAACUGAAGCAUACCUGGGCAUCAAUCCAAUGGGUGCCAAAGCCAAAAAAGCCAUCAGCUUUUGAUGGGCACCAAUCUUCCAUGCAAGGAGUAGCCGCAAGUGGAGUCUGACGGCUCAAUUUGGCUAUUCAGCCGAUAGAUAGGUCCAUAGGAUGGAGCCGAUAAAAUCCUGGCCGUCAGAUUAGUUAACUCUUAGUGUAGAUUACAUCUGACGGUUGAGAACGUGUUAAAUUAAAAUGAUAUGGAUAGUGGAUAAUCUGAAAGUGUUAUUUUAUUUUCCUUUUAAAUUAUAUUCUCUCUUUUAUUUCCCUUAAGUUUAAUUCAAUCAUUAUAACUAAUUAUGCAAUGCUUAGAACAUAAAUUUUACUUUACGAAUGUUGUUUAUUUUAAUUUUCCGAUUCUAAUGAAAUUAGUCUUGAUAUAUUUUAUGAAAAAAUAAAAUUUUAAUAUGGUAAGAUAAUCCCAAUAAGUAAAAGUUAUUAUGAUACAGUUAUGUGAUUAUGUCAUGAUUAUAUAACUAAUAUGUUAUAUAAUUGUUAAGAUUAUGUUUUGUAACUUUUUUGGGAACAAUUAUAUGAUAUUUAUAUACGAGAAAAUUAUGUCAGAAUUACACCAAUAUUAUACAUCUAUUAUGUCNNNNNNNNNNNNNNNNNNNNNNNNNNNNNUAUCCACCUUAAGUUAUCCGGUUGUUAUAUAACUGUUAUCUCCGACUUACAAGCAUGUUAUGUUGCUUUUAUGUUUGUUUUGUAAGUCUGUUAUAUGACAUAAAGUGAACAUAAAANNNNNNNNNNNNNNNNNNNNNNNNNNNNNNNNNNNNNNNNNNNNNNNNNNNNNNNNNNNNNNNNNNNNNNNNNNNNNNNNNNNNNNNNNNNNNNNNNNNNNNNNNNNNNNNNNNNNNNNNNNNNNNNNNNNNNNNNNNNNNNNNNNNNNNNNNNNNNNNNNNNNNNNNNNNNNNNNNNNNNNNUGGUUAGGUCCACAUUACAAAACUAUAAUGUAAUCAUUAUGUCUAUUUUAUGUACACUUGCAUUCCCCACCGUCAGAGGAAGCUUUCUCGAAACUAUUGAUCCCCAAAAUUAAACGUAAACGUACAUCCCAUAAUAAUANNNNNNNNNNNNNNNNNNNNNNNNNNNNNNNNNNNNNNNNNNNNNNNNNNNNNNNNNNNNNNNNNNNNNNNNNNNNNNNNNNNNNNNNAAGAACCGAAAUAAAGAAAGGUUAGAAGAAAAAAUUGGAUCCAAAAACAAACAUAACUCGGGAAAAAAAGAUAAAUUAUCUAUACACACCCAAAAAGCGUAGUUUGAGAUCUCUUGUUUGGGAAACAAAAUGGACGAUAUCAACAAAUGAGAAGCAUAGAUAUGAUGAUUGAGUUGUAGAUUUGUCCGGAUCUGUAAGACCUCGUCAUGGAUCUGAACGGUAAACAAAAAACGUCAAUGUUUCCGUUCUAAAUCUAGAUUGUCAGCUCACUCAUAUCAAUGUAAAUUUAAUUUUCAAUAACACAUCAACAGAAACAAAAACACGACGGAGAAGGAGAAGAGGUUCUUAUGAGAGAUGAUUGCAGCGCCAAACUUCCAUUAUUUGAGAAGGAGUUCUAGAUGAGGAGUUUUAGCAAGAGGAAGUAAUUUUUGUAGAGUAGAUACUUUUGGAUUGAGAAAAAAUAGAGAGAGAAAAGAGAAGAGAAAGAAGUUAGAGAGAGAGUCUGAUUUUUGCAAAUGAAAAUAAAAGAAUGGAAAAGGUAUUUGAAAUUCAAAUUUUGAAAUGUUUUCUCAAAUUAUCCCCAGUUAAUCUAGGAUCGUCGAUUAAAUUGAGGAUGGAAUAAAAUGAUAGGCAUCAGCUCGGUUUAUAGGAUGCAUCCUAUAGAACUUGCUCUUGGUUGAUUAGCCAUUUUUCCGACGGCGAGAUUUUCACGACUCAACUCAUGGACGAAAACAGAAACGCAUCAUCCUAGAAGUUGAUUCAAUGGGUGCUUAGAAUUUCCUUUCGAUAGUAGAUUUCUUCCAUUGAGAUUUCACAAAACUGGUUUAACUCGGCGACAAAUUGCUCAAGAAGACGAUGGACGAAGAGAUAGUGUCCAUGUGUGAUCUGAGAGAGGACGGAUCAUGUUCCAAGAAAAGGAAACAGAGAACGUGGUGAUCAAUAACUGUGAAUGAGAAGAUACUAAACCAGGAAGAGAAGGAGAGAUUGACAUUAGAAAAGAAGGAAAAAAUUGAAAUUCAAAUGCAUAGAUGUGGUUAUCAUCGAAUGAAAUCACUUGAAAGGGAAUUAAAAGGGAAUCAAAAGUCAUUGUUCUGCACUGUUCUUAAGCUACAGUAGGCUAGGGCUGGUUGGGCCUUAGCUUUUUAUACUUUCAUGACUAGUCGAUCCAACAUUCAUCUAUCUCAUCUUCAAUAUAGUGUUAUAUCAAUUAAUGAGCAAUAGGGCUAGAAUUCGGAAUGGAUACGCCACAAGUACCCAUUUCAUCAGAUUUUAUAUUUCCUUCCCAAGUCCCAAAUCCGUUUGGAGUGACGAGUACCUAUAAACCCAAACGAAUACCACGAAUAAGGAGUUGGGUACCCAUUUAUCCCACACUAAAUUUUCCAAAUCAGAAACUUACUUCUACACUUAUGCACUUCAAAGGACCAACCAAUCUGCAAAAGUGCAAACUGGGUAUAAUGUUUACAAAUUCUCAUUGUUGAAAGCCUCUCAACUCCUCAUCCCAUCAUUUUAGUUACUUAGAUCUUGGAUUACAGAACAACCAUUUGUCACUUACAGAUGAUUUAUAAUGUUAAGUUUUAAAUGGUUAUAUUUGAGUUUUAUAUUUGACAUUUUAAAUUUUUUCAAAAAGAUGUCUAACUCCAAUGAUAGAGUCCUAUAUUUAAGAUUAUUACUUUAAUAAGUUUAACUUAGUGUUAGUUUUGUCAUUUUAUUAUAAUAAUUUGAUUAUUAUUUAUAUAGGUGAACUCUUUGGUGCUUCUGGAGUAUCGAGUACUCCCACUAAGUUAAAUUGAUCUUGACCGUUCGUUAUUGAGAACAAAUCACAGUCGUUUUAUGUUUUCCUUUGAAAUUCUAAUAAGUCCAAAAUUAAUAUACUUAAAAGGCCACUUGAAUCAAUUCCAAUUAAUAUGACGAAUUUCUUUCAUAUGUGCACAUUUUUAUUUAAACAUUACGCUUAAGAAUCACUUCAAUUUUCAGAUUUAAUUUUAGGGUUUAGGGUAAUAUGAUAUGCCACAAAAAUAAUGGUGUGAGCUAGAAUUAAUGAAACUCUCUUAGUAGAGUAGAGUGUAAUGGAAGAAACAUUACACAACUUCGUGUUAAUCGAGAUUUACUACACAUACACCAAGUUGGGAGAAUGUUGGACAUUUGGAUUGAUUAGAGUUGUGUUUCAGUGGCUUUUGUUGGGUGUAAGAUCGGUAAUUGGAAGCCAAUCAAAAGGAGUAUAUAUGUGAAACUUAAAGUGGAAGAGCUAAUGAAGAUGAGAGGGAAGAUAAAACGAGUUGGAACACUAUAGAAUUUCAAAUUCAUACCCAGUUUCUGAUUAACAUGAACAAAACAUUAUUUCUGGAUCCCUAGGGAAACCUGAAACUUCAGGUAUUGAAGGAUGAGAGAUUUAGAAGGCUAUUUGACAUGAAAAAUGAAAGUGGUGGAUAAAUCGCUUACCAAUACUAUUUUGUACAUGUUUGACACUCCAAAUGUGUAAUUCAAGUUACAAUAAGGUGCAUUAGUUGGUACCAAACUAAAAUGCUUAUAGGGUGAAUGGUGUCUCCAGGGACGGGGAAAGAUUUGAGUUCAAGAGGUUUUACAAAAGGUAGAAGUUAACACCUUCAAGGAUGUUUGUACCUCUGCUAAUUUGGACUUUAACUGUUAUAUUUGUUUGGACUUAAUAACCUUACUAUUAUAUUAUAUAACCUUAGCUUCAUGGUGUGCUUCUUAACAAAUUGUAAACUGUAAUAACUAUAGUGAAAGUCAUCACCACUUACAUCCAUAUAAAUCUCUUACACUAUUGAACUUAUCGAAGUGGAUCAUAGUUUCGUUAAACAUAUAUCAUAGGUUAAGUUUUACACAUUUAUACAUUCUUCCAAUAAUAAUGAAUUAUACUAUAUUAAUAAAAUUAAGAAAUGACACUUUCAGAUAUAGCCUCAAUGAACAUUCAACACACUCGAACCAGAAAAACUACAAUCAACUUACUGUAAUCAAUAGCACCUUGAUAGAGUAUAAAUUCGAAAGUUUUUAACCACCAAUUUGUUUUCUCCAUUAGAAUUCUAAAAUAUGAUAGAGAAAAGAAAGUUUUGAUUGUAAAUAUAGUUAUGUUUUUCAGUUUUGAAGAAAGUUAGGGUUUGAUAAUCAAAUAUGUUCUUCAUCUUGAGCUGAAAAAACCAAUAGCAAUAAAAGUUUAGAAAAUGUCAAUCUAGUACACACUCUCCAAUUUUGAGGGAAAAUUAUGAAAAUAUGGGAAUAAUACUUCUUCAUCUACUCUUUCACUGGUAUAUCUUCAUCGUCAUAUGCUUGAGGUGAUACCUGGUCCAAUUGCCUAUCUGCAUAUAACUCUAUUAGAUAUGUAUGCACUUCUAAAGGAUUCCCAAAUCGAUUUGAACAUACUCUUGAUGGGUUUUCUAUGAUGAAUCAUUUUUAUUCAUAGUUUGUGCAAAGAAGUAGUGUAAAUUUGUCAUUGCCUAAUUAAUAAACAGUAUUGUAUAAGGUAAUCCAAUCAGUUUAAGCAUAAACCUUAUGAUUUUUUUUUAAUGUUGGCCUCGUAUAAGCUUCCUAAACUCUAUAACCUAUGCCAAAAAUGUAACCACCAAAGUUUAUGUGCAUGCAAUUCCAAAGGUUUGUCUAAGAUCAAUUUGAAUAUGUACUUACGGUCAUAUUCAUGGCUGCAUCCAGUUCAACAUCUAGCUUCUGUUUUUUCGCUGAUGAAAUUUCAAUGAGAUUGUCUUCCACCUAUGACGAGAACAUAAAGUGAACACUUUGGUUGUAAUUAAAAAUCAGCAAGUAUUCUGUAAAAAAAGAUUUGUCUGAGUCAAUAUGAGCAAGUACAAUCUCUUUCUGACGUGAUUUAUUUUAGAUCCCAAUGUCUCUAGUUUGUGCAACACACAUAGAUAUCAAAAUUCAGUAUCAAUAACAACAACCUGAUUAAAAAAGUGAGACAAUAUAAUAGAAUGCACAUGCACCUUCUCAAUUUCAUGUGCUCUUUGUGUUACUUCGUUUUCUUUUGUAACCUGAGUAUCAUUUUACCAUUCAUCUACUUUCAUUACUAUUGAACAAAAUGAUCGACCUAGAUUUUUCUCAAUAGUUACCUUCUCAAUUAUUGCAGAUGCACCUUGCGCAUAUUCUUUCUCUUCUCCAAUCUGUGUCAAAUAUCGAAAUUUUGAUUUGGUUACCGUUCAUUUUGUUUCUUUGACAUUGAUAAUUGAGCUCCUUCUGAAUAAUGAUCAUAGAUCUUUUUAGAUGGAUACCUUCUCAAUUAUAACAGGUGCACUUUGUGCCGUAUCAUUCUCUUUAACAGAGGAUCCUUCAUGGCUGUUGUUCAUCUGGAGACAGUUUUAAACGCCAACGUUUAGACAUAUUUAACAGCGGAUUUUUUUAGCAAGCCGUUGUUAAGUUUCAUCAUAUAAUAACAUAAUUUAGCUAGCUGUUGUUAUAUAGGCAUAUUUUGAACCCACAUUUUGGCCCGUAAAUUGGUUUAAAACUCAUCAUAUGAAAUAUAUUUAGUCAUAUCUAACUAUAUUAAUGCAAAUUCAAGCUUGUAUACAUAAAUUCAGUAUACCAUAUAUGUACAUAGUACUCGUAUAUUGAAGUACUUCUAUCGAAGUGGUAACAACACUAAUGCACCUUCAACAACUAUAUCAAAGAACAUGCUAAUAAAUAUUAUGUAUAAUUUGGCCUUUUAAACAAAAAAGCAUACCGUAUAUUCAAUUCAACGGGUGAGUUACGCUUAUGUACAACAAUAAUUACCGAAUGAAGACACUAUAAUUACCUCUUCCUAAGUUAAGAUUUAAAAACCCUAUAUUAAAUGUCAAAAUGAAAAUUUAUCAGAUAUGGCCUUGUACCUUAAAGAUAUUAUAGUCCUCCUCAUCCACUCUCUUCUCUAGGUGACUUGGGUAUGAAUCGCAUGUUACUCAUUUUGUUUCGAGUUUUAAACAUUUAACAGCGGUUAGUAUGUAAUCGUUCACACGGUUGUUAAUUCAUUUAAUUUUAUAGCGGCCAGUAUUAGUCCGUUGUUAAAUGGUUGACAAUGCUUUGCUUUAGGAGAUCUUUUUUAUUUGGACGAGUUUCACAUUAAAGAAAAUGACGCCGUUUUUGUUUGCAUUUUAACAUCGAUUUUGUUAUAGCCGCUGUUAAAUUUUGGGUAAAAAUUCCAAACCCUCCCCUUUAUGAGAAAUGUGCUUUUAACAAGUUGCACACGAGGGAUACGGUCUUUGAUCGUCUUUUGUUGAAGCAGUGUACACCUAGCUACAUAUUGUGCGACAUCCAUGGAGAAAAAAGGGGUCAACCUUCUAGUCAAAAUUAAGUUUUUUCUUAGGGUUUCUAAUAAUGCACAAUCCAAUCUGGCACCACUGGUGGUCGAUGAUAAUGUGCCUCAGUGCAUCCCUUAUCCAUGAUGUCUUUGAUAUCCCUGAAAAUCCAAUGCUAAGCGACCAUUAUAUUGUCAAUUAUGCUUUUGGAAUUACUUCAGAUGAUAACAGUCCCUCUACGGCAGAAAAUGUAGGGUUCCUUUGUUUUUAUUCAAGAUGGCGAGGAAAAUUGUAUGAUGCAAGUUCUUGAAACUAUCUUUCUUAUUAAGGUUGUAUCACAUUUAGUACAUGCACAAGAUAAGUGAGAAGGCAUUGGGUUAAAUACUGAAACUCAUGCAAGAAGCUUUUGAAUCGGUUUGACUUCAAAAAUUAGUAUAUGAGGCGAAGAAUAGAAUGAAAUGUCUAGGCUUAUCUUACUAAAAGAUACACGCUUCUACGGAUAAGUGCAUGCUUUAUUGGGGAAAUGCGGUUGAAGAGUAGAGUUCUAGAACAUGUAAGAAGCCUAGAUAUAAAAAGACAAGGACCGGGAUAACAGUGACAAUGAAGAAGAAACAAGUGCACAAAAAUAUUCUGCAACUUUCGUCUAAAUCCUAGAUUACACAGGAUGUAAAUUUCAUCAAAAUUGGUUGUGGAUAUGGUAUGAUACUCAACGGAUAUUAAUAAGAACGAUAUUGUUAGACACCCUCGGGAUUGAAAGGCGUGGUCAAGCUUUGAUUUGAGGUAUCCCGAAUUUCCUACUGACCCAAGAAAUGUUUAUCUAGCACUUGCAAGUGAUGGAUUCAAUCCAUUUGGUAACAUGGAAAAAAAUCACAAUACUUUACAUGUGGUUCAGGUUUCAUUAACACUGCUCCUUGGUUGUGCAUGAAACAGAGAAGCAUGGUAUUUUCUAGCAUUAUUCUGGUAUCGAAACAACCAGAUAUUGACAUUUAUCUCCAACCACUAAUUUGGGAGUUGCAAAAAUUGUAAGAAGGAGUCCGGAUGUAUGAUUUUGCAAAUAAGGAAAUUUUCAUCUUGAAAGCCUCUUCGAUGUGGACCAUUAGUGAUUUUCCUGGACUUAGUUUACUAUAUGGGUGGAACACUCACACUGCAAAUGGUUGCGCAUCUUACAAUUUUAACAGCAUCCCUUUACGAUUGCUAAAGAGUAAGAAAUGGUUUUAUGGGUAGUUGACGCGUCUUACACAUGAACCACCGGUUUCAAAAACAACAGCCAAGUUUGAUGGAAAGAGGGAGUUGAGGGGGCCACCUGGUAUAAUAUCAGGGUCAGAAACUACUAGAUCAAGUGAAGGAUAUAAACAUAGAAUGGGGGAAAGUGGAAGACCCUAUAACUGGAAAGAGAAUAUCGUUAGAGAAGACUAAGGGUAAGACUACAAAGCAAUGGACAAAGUAUAGUAUAUUCUUUGAACUUCCUAAUUGGUAAUUCAAUGAACUGCACCACAACCUUGCUGUAAUACACACUGAAAAGAAUGUCUGUGACAACAUUUUAUAUACACAGAUUAAUGACAGAGCAAAGAGCAAAGAUCACUUGGCUACCCAACAAGAUUUGGAAAAUCCCCCGGUGCCUUUUUCACAUUGACUAAGCAGGAGGUCGAAACAAUCCUCCAAAUGUUGAAGUCUUUGUUUGUUCCUGAUUGUUAUUCCAACAACAUCUGAUGGUGUAUCGACCUAGCUCAAGGAAAGCUGUUUAGGCUAUAAAGUCAUGACUCACAUAUGCUUUUGCACGAAGUGUCGCACGUGGCAAUGAGAAAUGUAUGACAGAAAUCAGUAGUUGACAUGUUUGUGGAAUUCACUUGUAUUAAGGGAUUGAGUGUUAUAAUGAUAAACAUCAAUGAUCUUGAUAAGACACAAUAAAGGUUAUUGAUUGGAAUAUGUCACAUGAAAAUAAUUUUUCCGCCAUCUUUGUUUGAUAUCAUGGUUCAUUUGGUGUUGCACUUUGUCGAGGAAGUAAGAGUUAGAGGUCCUGUCCAAUACCGAUGAUGUAUCUUAAAGAAAGGAUAUUACGAAAACUGAAGACAUUUGUUCACAACAAGGCAAAGCCGAAAGGUUGUGUAACUGAAGGGUGGAUUGCAGAUCAAAGUUCAUUUUCUCGUCUUUGUAUUUGGGUAAUGGGAUUGAAACGGGACUUGAUCGGGAAAACCGUUAGCAUGAACCUCAUGAUGAAGGUAACAGUUCAUCUGAAAUUUUCUAAGUGGUUGGGAAACCGAUUGGUACUGGAAAGAUUUUCAAACUUAUGGACAUGGAAAGACAGCAAGCCUACCAUCUUGUGUUGGUUAACUCUAACACAGUGACACCAUUUUAUGAGUGAGACUAUUGUCAAAUUUACCUCUAAUAUAUCCAUCCACUAGGUAAUUGAGGCAUUAUCUGUAAUAUAAUAUUCACAUUACAGUGAGUUCCAGGGUACCAUUUGAUUGCGGUACAGAGGUCGUAGGGCAAAACAAAGAGCUGCUUUCAGCAAAUAAAAGUGAGAGCACGAUUAUUGGUAGCCAUGUUGACCCCAUAUUGACUUGUUUUGCUUUGGUUGUGAUGAUAUGUGUGUGGGGUUAGUGUCUCGUUUGAUCAUAAUUGAAUUUCGUGUCUGUUUCCCCUCAAACAGACCAUUUCAGUCUGUUUGACUUGUUUCUUUUAGUAUUUUCCUUCAAUACCGGUUUUAUUUGGAUAGAGGGUUCCGCUACGAAGCCAAUGUUAUGUUUUGAAGUGAAAUCCGAGUCCAAAUGAAGAAGUUAUAGCCAAAAGAAGAUUUGAGUUGUUGUUGUUGAAGAGUCACAGUCGUGACACAAUCUGUUACGGCCUGUGAUAGCUGUCACGGUCGUGACACAUUUUGUCAUGGCCGUGAUAAGCAAUCUAAUUCUAUUUAAUCCCUAAUUUGAGGUUUUUAGAAGGGGAGAGCCAUGGAGAUGAACUAAAAAAAAAAUUAACUAAGUGAAAAUGCUUGGGAGCCUAGGAACACCAUGUCAUGAAGAUUCAAAGCCCAAUGGAGGAUCUACCUUGUAAUUUGAUGAAUUGGCGGUUUGAAGUAUUCUCUAUAACUUCCAUGGAUAGUUAGGUUUUUUUUCUUGUUUGGGUUUUAUAGAUUCCUUUGGAUUGAUGGGAUAUUUCUUGCAUGUAGUGAUAGGAUUAUGGAUGCAUGAUGAUUGAUGUUAUGUUUUUCUAUCUUGUCCAUUUUUUAUCCUGUUUCCUUGUGAUUCACAAUUUUCUCCAAUUUUUCUGUUUUAGUUUUUCUGUUGAGAUUGAUUGCUGAGUUGUUUGUUGAAUGGAUGUUUGGGGGUGGUGCAGGGGGUUUUUGUCAUUGUUUUUAUAGACGUCAUCUUAAGGACCCAAAAUGUGUUAUUACCCAUUGACUUGUCAAUUUUGCGAAUUUCGAGUUCGUUGUUGAUGUCUCUGUUUCAUGACACUUUGAUUGGGUGAUUGGCAUUCAUUUUCCUAGCUCUGUUGUGAUUUUGCAAUGUGAAUACUAGUUAACUCUCACCUAGAAUAACUAAUUAUUUGUUUUGACUUGUGAUGAUUCUUUCCUUGAGCUCAUUUUCACCUAUUCUACUUAUGGUAUGGCUGAUGUGAAAGCUUGCAUUUUGCUGAUGCUUUUGUGGGUUUGAUAGAACUUUCACUUGUGCUAAGAUGCUUGUAUGUUAUUUGCUUUGAAUAUCUAGUUAUACUUGUCGCCUUGUUGAAGUUACUCUUGUUCGCUUGUUGAAGUUAUUCUUUGAGCUUUAGAUUGCCAUGACUUGUGCUUUCUUGGGUUCUUUAUGCUCUACUUGUGUCAUGCUACUCCACUAAAGUAGUUUGAAUUGAGAAAUUGACCUAAAUUUUUUUCACCUGGGAGUUUGUUGACCUGCUUUCGAGUUGGUUGGAUUAGGAAGCAUUAUGCAAUAUAUUGUUGGAUUGUGAUUGUUUUGUGCUUCGCAUUUUGUUUGGUUGGCUUGAUUUUGCAGAUAUCAGGUGUGGGUUUUUCUCAGUCUCAGGGACACAGUAGGAAGAAGAGAUAUGUUUCUGAGGAAGAUGGGAGCAUAGCUCGAGCUACGGUUGAUGUGCAAGAAGCUAGGGAGUAGCAUAUUCUAGAGGUUACUACCGCUGUAGUUGACUCGUUCCUGACCUUUGAGGAUGCAGUGUUUCAGAGUCGCUAUUAGAUUGUCAGUGCGAAGAGAGUUGUGGCUACCAAGCAGUUUGAUUGGACUUUUCUUGAUGCUACUCCUGUCCCUGAUUGGUCCUCUCAUAUGCGACAAUUUCUCAGUUGGGUUGCCUAGAGAAUGCUCUUUCCAUUGAUGAGCCUAGUUGCGAGGUAUUCACCCAUGAGUUCUUUUCUACUCUAAUGGUGAACCUCUAGGCUAUUCGAGAUGAAACUUUGGCUAUCACCUUUCUCAUGGCUGGACAGCCUCAGCAUAUGUCUUUUGAUAGGUUUGCAGUUGCCUGUGGAUUCUAUGAUCAGGCAGACACUUAGGAGGCUUGGUUUCAACAAGUAUUGAUCUAUCAGGAUGAGGAUGUUUUGACUGCUGCCAAUGCUACAUUCUGGACUAGAGUGCGGAAGGAGAAUAUGCCUUUUGUUGCUGGGAAGCUCAAGGCGAGCCUCUUCAGGAAUCCUCUUCAUAGAUUCUUUCAUGGAGGGUUGGCUAGGACUAUCACUGCCCGCGUGAGAGUCUUGGACAUAUUCUUGCUCGAUAUUUAUUCCUCAUUCGGGCUAAUGAUUGAUAGUACACCGAAAAAUUUGGGGCACAUUGUGGCUCAUAACUUGCAUCUCAUGUGCACUCCGUCUGCUUCACCUCUUUUUGAUGGUGCCUAUAUUGCUUGGGUGGCUAGACACUUGGGUGUUCUUGAUCGGUUCAGAGAUAUCCCAACCUACCCGUCGAUGAUGAUGGAUUCUGCUUGGUUGUUCGCAUGAAGUUGCUUCAUGUGGUGCAUGGUAUUGGUCGUAUAUAGGCUUUGAGAUGACUGAUGAUUCCUACAUUCUAGGAGAUUUUGUGGAUGAGGAGGCAGAGAUGAAUGCCAUGGACGCUCCUGUUGCCCCAGUUGUUCAGCCCAAUGAUGACUUCUCUCUUACAAAUGCAGUACGCCAUCUCACCGCUUAGCAGACACGGUUUCAGAUGGUGGCUCGAGCUGCUAUUACUGACCUCACCUCCCGAGUCUAUUGGUUGCAGCAGCGUGAUCAUGAUAGAUAUGGUGGAUCUCCCCCGCUAGGAAUACCAAAAUUCGAGUGACUCUUAUGACUUUUUCAAGAAAUCUACCAUUUGAUUUUUGUUUCUAUUUCUCUUUAUUUAGACUCUUUGGUUAUUUUUGCUACUCUAUUGUGUUGUUAUAGACUUUCUUUCACCCUAUAAAGUACUUGUGCUUGUGGCGGUUGUUGUCUGUGCUAUGUUCUUUUCUUCUUUUCCUAUGUUUGUUUCAGGUGGUCCCCAAAACUCCAGUGACCUUCGACUCAGGUUAUUCUACUUUGGAUUGUCUUUGUGGAUUGUUCCUCCCUCCAUCCUUUGUGCUUGUUCUUGACGGUACACUUUCUCCAACUCUACUAUAUGCUAUUCCCAUCAAGGAUUAUGUGAUGUUCAGGUGUGGGGGGGGCGAACUCUUGUGAAAGUGUACCGUGCUUGUUCUUUUUAUAGAUGUUUAGCGUGCUAGUUCAUUGUGGCUUCUUGUUUUGGAUUGAUGAUUAUUGUAACUUAUACCUCGCUUUCGAAAUGUCCUCUUGCUAAGAUCUCGUUUGUGAACCACCAGGCAUGUCACUCAAAACUAGUGUAUUAGGGACCCCUAGAUAUGAUGCACAUCGAUUAGCCACUCUCGUUGUCUUGUUCUAGGUUGUAGUAGAGUCUGUUUGUAGCCAUCCCAUCGAAUUUUCCUAGGUUGAUAUGAAGGUAAAACAGGAGGGAGGAGUCUGAAUGAGGUUGCUAGAAUAAAAAUGCCGUGGGGUUUGAUUAACACCUAAAUACGUGUGGCAACCCUUGAGGUCUGCCUUCUCCCCAACCUUUAUGAGGCUUGGCGCGUGGAUUGGAGACUGAUUACCUUCGAGUCCGGCCAAGGUUGUGAGUAUCCCCAUUUGGAAAAAGUAGAAAUACCGAAAAGAGUAAAAAAAGUGAAAAGUGAAAGAAAAGAAAAUGAAGAUGAAAAGAAGAAGAAAAGCAAGUGAAAGCAAUUUGUAUAUAGUAGAUUAUAGCUAGUAGUAGAGUCAAGCAAGCAAAUUAGAGGAGGAUGCUAGCAUUGUUUGGGUGUUGUGAUUUGUAUGAAACACUUGUUGUCACUCACCUUCCCAUCAGGUUCGGAAGAGAAAGCUCGGCCAGGACGAGCCAUCAGUCUAUUACUUCCUCUGUCGGCUAGGUGGCAUAAGUGUUUGGGGGAUUAUGGACACACUCCGAUGGGUAGAAACUGAAUCAUGUGUAUCAUAUGUAGUAGUCUGUCUUACACUAGUGUAGGGGACUCGGUGUUAUGCUUAAUUUUGUGGUUUGGUGUUUAACUAGUUACUUGGCACCAUGCUAAGAUGUGAGACCAUAGGUUAUGCUUUCCGUUCAUCAUAUUUCGAGUUCUUUGUGACUGUGUUGAGUAGAUUUUCUUGAGGACAAGCAAUGUUCAAGUGUGUGGAGAUUUGAUAGCACGAUUAUUGGUAGUCAUUUGACCCCACCUUGACUUGUUUGGCUCCGGUUUCGAUGAUAUAUGUUUGGUACUAGUGUCCGGCUUGACCGUAAUUGCAUUUCGUGUUUUUUUCCUCUUAAAAGAACCAUUUCGGUAUGUUUGACUUAGUUUCUUGAAGUAUUUUACAUGAUUGCAUAUGGCCUUUGGGUGGAGGUUUUGACUACGAAGCCAAUGGUAUGUUCAGAGCGAAAUCAGAGUCCAAAUGAAAAAGUUAUGGCAUAAAGAAUAUUGGAGUUGCUCAUGUUGAAGAGUCACGGCCAUGACACAACUUCUCACGACCGUGAUAGAUGUCAUGGUCAUGACACAUGUUGUCACGAAAGUGAUAGGCAAUCUGUACAUAACUCUAUUUAAUCCCCAAUUCGAGAUUUUUAGAAGGGGAGAGCCAUGGAGAUUAACUAAAACAAAUUUUGACGAAGUGAAAAUGCUUGGGAGCCUAGGAACACCAUGAGAGUGAAGAUUUGAAUCCAAAUAGCCAAGGAAUCGAAGCCCAACGGAGGAUCUAGUUUCUACUUCGAUGAAUUGGCGGUUUGAAGCAUUCUCUACAACUUCCAUGGAUAGUUAGGUUUUCUUCUUGUUAAAUUCAACAGCGGGUUACAUAUUACCCGAUGUUAAAUAUAACGGAUAGCUUAGAACAUCGGACUGUAAGGAGUCGCUAUUAAAUUUAAUAGUGGGUUUGUAGAUGUCGCUGUUAAAUGUAAACUAGUUUAAAGGCGGGAGCUGUUUUUCGUCGUUAAAAUAUUCAGCAUUGGUUAGUUUAAUGGGGGACGACGGCCGCUGUUAAAAUAUUUAACAGUUGUGUUUAGCCAUUGUUAUAUGGCUAUAUAGACGUUGUUAAAUAGGUGAAAUCUUGAGGAGUCAAAUUGAUAUUGAAAAGUUAGCUAAAAGAGCUAAUACACAACCUACAACCCUCAUAUAAGAGAGAAAAAUAGCAAGGUACACAACCAUGUUAAGUAGGCACGUACACGUAAAACAUAUGCUUCGUGCAUGAGUACAUUAAAUGUAUGAACAUGUAUUUAUGUAUGAGAUCACUAAUUAUUUUAUAAUUGGUAUGUAUGAAUUUUUAUUUAGGAUCACAUAACUAAACGCAUUUGGUAGAUUGAUAUGCACGUAUGAACUUGCAUUUACGACAAGAUCACUAAAGCAUUCAAUCAUUAAUUCAUACAAAUAAAAUUCAUUCUUUUAUAUUUUUGCCUGAACCCCAACAAUAUUUGCAAUAUGUGUGAACAAAAUAACAAUUCAAAUUUAGUAUUUAUUCCAUAAUCUAACUAAUAAGAUCGAACUAAUAUAUAUAAUAAGAUGCAACAUAUAUAUAGGGAAACGAGUGGAAAUCAUACAUCUAAACACCAUCUUAUAAAGAAAAUCAAAAUGCUCAGUCUUACUUGAUCAUUUAUUAUUCCUUCGACAGUAGUCUCUGAAUUUGCGGGAUCAGCGACAACUACAAUAUCAUGGAUCAUAAAAAAACACAAAAACUGAUCAACCACACAAGACAAUAGAAUAUCACGAAAGAAAACUAAGGGCUACAACUACAACUAACAAACCAAUGCAAAUAACCUCUACAACUAUAACCCUAUAUGAAUAGAAAAUAAUACAAAUAAAAAACUACCAACAGUUAGAGCCACAGCUAUAGGGUGAAAUCCUGAUUAUACCUUUCAUCAUCGCGUUGAGUCUUUUCCUUCGUAAGCUCACCAUUCUAAAGCCAAGUCCUACAAAACAAGGAAUUAGAGUGUUCGUAAAUUAAUCCACUACAAACAAAGGACUUUAGUUGAGAGCCUUCACUCCAGCACAACAACAAAUCAUGUGAACUAAUAGCAUCUAUAAGAACAAUCAACAAAAUGAUUGAAUAUAUACGAGUAUUAUGAUGAACCAAAAAAAGAACCCACCAACAACAAUCGACAAACAACCAACUUUCCUAAACCUAGGAGAUUUGAUGUAACUCAAGCAAUUCAACACCAACAAAAGCAUACAAUGACCAAAGGAUCAAGCCAAACAAAAUUCACUUAUCCAAAAAGAUUGCAACAUAUAUCCAUAAUUCCUUACCCAACCUCCAGAUUAAGCACACAAGGAUUCACGAUCUCACAACAAAUCAAUCAAACAACAAUAACACAAUCAAGAAUAUCUCAAAUCAACAUCACUCGAACAUAAGAGGAAUCAACUAGCAGUUUGCAAGAGAAUAACAAUAACAACAAUAGCUUUUUGAUCUAGAAUUCAACAUAUUAAACAAGAAAUUCAAACUAACCAAAAGUGGUUCUCUCUUAGGGAUGCAAUAGAGAUGAGGGGAGCAAGCAUACAAAUUAUCGCCGAGUUUUUUUUUCUUGAUGGAUUAUAGUGGUGAGAGCAUUCAAAGACAUAAGAGAAACGAAUAGUCAUUAAUUUCUGUAUUUUCUGUUAUGGUAAGUGGGUAAGUCUUGAUGAGGAAGCUAGCUGGCAAUGUUUAAUUGUGGAUUGGUUCUUUAAUUUUUGUAUUUAAUGUAUUUCUAUAGUUUUAUUUAUACUACGAAUCUAGUUUUGAAUUCCAUAGAAAAAAUAAGAUUUUACUACCAACUUUGUUUUUUCUCUUUAUAGGCGCAUUUUCUACCAAAAACAACAUUAACACACAUCAAAUUAACUACAAAACGGUGGACAAUGAGGAAAUGUGCAGAGUUAUAAUAAAGUAGUGCAGAAUGGUGGAAAGCGAGAAGAAAAAGCCACGAAUGACGAGUACAAAAUCAUUAUUCUAAUUUGUUCAAAGUUAGAAUCGUUAAGUUUUGGUUAUAACUCGAGCAAAAACAUGCGACAUUUGUACUCUUUUAUAGAGCAUAAUAUUGAAUCGAUCUUUAAUGGUAAAAAGCUUAAAAGAUGGAAAAGUCUUUUAAGNNNNNNNNNNNNNNNNNNNNNNNNNNNNNNNNNNNNNNNNNNNNNNNNNNNNNNNNNNNNNNNNNNNNNNNNNNNNNNNNNNNNNNNNNNNNNNNNNNNNNNNNNNNNNNNNNNNNNNNNNNNNNNNNNNNNNNNNNNNNNNNNNNNNNNNNNNNNNNNNNNNNNNNNNNNNNNNNNGUAAUCUCAUAAUUAAAGUAAAAAUUACUCCAUAUGAUUCAAGAAAUUAUCAUUAUCUCCACCAUUCUAUCCUAAAAUUUGAUAAUUUUUUAUGGGUGAUUACGACUUAUUAGAAACUCAAAUGCACAAAAGGAAAAAAUGAGAAUGCAUAAAAAAUUGAUGGAGAUAUUUUUUGAUAAGGGAAAAACUCUUAUUUCAUUGUGAUUAAUUAUUCUAAGAAGAUUCUUCAUUUAUUUUUAAGAAGAAAAAAAUGGAAAACAACUCUAUAUCUCUUGCGGUUUUUUUCCUGAGUCGAAAAACUCUAGCCGCCAAAGAACCCUAGCCAUCAUACCUUCAUAUUUUUAUCCUAUCCCUCUACGAUUCCGAUAGUUUCUACCCUCUGUUAGGGUUUUGUCCUCUACCCUCAAGUAGGGUUUGUUCUCCCCUCGAGUAGGGUUUUGUUUCUACCAUCGAGUGGGGCUGUUUUAGCUUCUUCUUUCACGAUGGCAGCUCUGCUUUCCCGACGACCCUCCAUGAUUCAGUCAAUGGAACGCAAGGAAGUCUACCGUAAGAAAUCAUUGAAAUCAACGAAGAAUGGAGGCCAUGCUCCAAUAACCAUGGUACGAGCGGGUCACCUUUAGGCGAUCCGCCCAACUAUGUGAGGAACUUCGGGUCGAUGAAGUCUCUGGGGACUGUCAUCGCAAGGGAUCAAGAAGCCGACUACGCUUUGUUGCUUAGUUGUUUUAUAUUUCUCUACUAUUUUCAUUGUAGUGGUGAUUUCUUUUCAUGUUUUGCUUAUGUCGGUUGUGUUAUGUUAUGUUAUGCAGUCGGGGAUAGUGCUAGUUGAGGGUCGUUUUCUUAUUUCCUCUAGUCUAGAAUCGAUCUUGGUCAAGCAGAUUGAGGAUGCAAAGCAAAGUAUCUGCAAUAGUUACCUGUGUUUCCCUUGCAAACUAUCUUAGGAAGAGCCUCCCGAUAGCACCAUUGUACUCACUUAUAUCUUUACUCGAUAAUAAAUGAUAAUCUAUUUGAUUUGUCAUAAAAAACUACUCUAAGAGGAUUAGCAAUUAUGCCCAACAAUACUAUAUAUUUUGUAAGAUCAAUAGAUAUCAUUGAAGAGAAAAAUUAAAUCAUUACUAGUUAUAAUCCAGGAUAUAUGUCAGCUCUUAUCCCCACUUCCAUAGAUCUGUUUGCAGACAGUCAAGCGAUCAGGUAAUGGAGCCGCCCAUUCAGUGACUCACAUGACUCUUAGAUAUCUUCCGUGAGUGAUGUCAGUAAUCCUCACUCAUUGGGUUGAUGAUUAAAUUUUUUAUCUGUGUUUGCUAUCUUCUUGUCUCCGCAAGGAGCCUAUCUAUGAAAAAAAAAAUACUAAAGAAUUCCUUAAACGUAUAAUCGAAUAAGCACCUCUCCCUCCCGCUAGGGGAAUAUCGCCUCCCUUUAGUCUUCUAGAGUUUUUUUUCUACCUCUCAAUAGGAACCCCACAAUUGCUACCAUGAUGUCAAGGUCAACCCCAGCUACCCGGGCUAACACCAAGCUACAUAGGCUAUGUGAGGGCGUUUGGAUCGAUGAAACAACUGGCGGCUUCAUCACAGAAAGGUCCGACUAGUGUUCGUUUUUAUGUCCUUGAACAUCUCUGUGUUGCUUUUGGUUUUUUGUUGGUCUUUCACAUGACUUUUCGUUUCAUGAUGUCAUUUUUGGGUAGGUAGUAGCUAGGUGAGUAACGGUAAAAUCCAAUUAGAUGAGAUUUCGUAAGGUUUUGAAGAGAUUAAGAAUGUGAAGUAAAAUAACUCUCAAAAUUAACUACUAUGCCCUUAUAACCCAUAUGUCAGAAACCGAGCCCAAUUAGCUAUUUGGCACUGUGUAUCAUAAAUAAUUUUAUUAAUCAAACGUAUUGCUUUUAUUGUAAAAAACACCAACAACUAAAUAAAUAAAACACACAAUCUCUACCACAUUUCCGCAACAAAAUGAAGUUGUGGAGGGGAACAAUAAGUUUUUACUAGUUCUUAUUUUGACUAUAUUAAUUAGAUCAUUAAACUUUCAAACCAAUACAUGCUGAAGACUUAUCGAUUAAAUUACUACCUAUUAGAUCAUACGCAAAAUAGAAUUGCAUACGAGCUAUUAAAGUACAAAAAAUUCAUAUUUUCAUCCACUUAGUGGUAAACAUCUAAUUCUGAGCACAAAAGAAAUAAAUUACGACAACCCAAUGUUUGUUCCUGUGAAGCUAUCCUUCUUGGAUUUUUUUUUUACCAAUAUCCUUCUUGGAUAUUCACGUAAAGUGUCGUAUAAGGUGUUCAACAAGCAUGUUUAUUAAGUGGAAAAAUAUAUACAUGUUUUUUACGAAAAAAUAUAAUUUUAGACAAGAUUAAAUUGAAAAUUACGUAGAUAAUUAACUCGAAAUGUAAACUACACGAUUUGGCAAUUCCCCUCACUUACAACGAGCCACGCAUCUUAGGAUGCGUCGCACGUUGUUUUGUUCAAGCCCAGUUUGGCAUCGGUGGCAAGGAAACCAGCAAGCAUGGUGUUGAACCUCCUCCGUGAACCUUCAUGGACUGUAGAACACGGUCUCAGCAAAUCGCCAAUGAAUUUAGAAAAUACAACAAUUGUGAGGGAAAGUGCACCUGUGGACUUCAAUCGUGCCUUCAUGUUAGGGUCCUUCACAUGGCUGUUGUAGUUGCUUUCAUAGUGUCGGGUGCACCAUCUCUUUACUCAGCCCCCACCAAUUUGGUCCAUUGCAGCUCUAAGUCUGACAUGGCGAUCCGAGAUUUAGCAUACGUUCUAUUUGUAUGUCACUAGUUCUUGUAUGCAACGGAGGAACCACACCCAGGUUUUAAUGCUUUCUUUUUCGAUGAUGGCAAAAGCCACAAUCAAAAUAUUAUGGUUUCCAUCAAAUGAACUAGCCAUCAACGGGGUCACACUAUAUUUUCCGGUGAGGAAGGUGUCGUCAACAUCUAGGACAGGUUGACAAUGUCGAAACCUUUCAAUGCACGGCCGGAAGCUCCAGAAUACAGAAUAAAACUGCUUUUAAACACUGACGCUUCCGAUUAAGCCAUCAAAGUGAAACUAGAGUUGGUGACAGGGUUACGACUCUGCACUUCGUUGGAAAAAUCUUGAAGUUUGUUGUGAGACCCCUCCCAAUUUCCAUAUGUCAUCUCCAUAGCCUUUUGCUUCCCAUACCAUGCCGCUCUGUAUGAGAUCUGACAUUGGAAAAGGUGUGAAAUCUCAUAUUGGAUCAAACGGAUCUGAAAGUGUGUCACUGACCGGAUAAGGUGCAUCAUCGCAUCUGCGAUGACAUUCACAUCCAGUUGGGUAGAUUCUACGUUGUUCUCGCUUCCGUCACAUGUGUGAAGUGGAGUCUAUUGCCAAACCGUCCAGAACCUGUCAUCUGCGCUGCUGGUGAUGCGUAACCUCCAUGGACAGUUAUUUGUUUUGUACGUAUAACACCUGACCUUCAAGUCCCAAGUCUUUGAGCGAGAUGUCUCUAGGGCUCGAUUGUUAUGCAAGGCCCCGUGUUUGAUAGCAAGACUGUCUCUUUCUUCAUGUAAAACCGUUGGCCGAUGUAGAAAUAUUGAUGGGUGGGGUUGAAAUCUCAGGACCUCCCUCCUAAUGGUCAACAGUCAUCACCUGGUCGAUGUUUUCGCCCAACGUUGUGCACAGCUCGAGAGGAGUGUACUCAUGUGCGGGGGGACGAGACGAUCUUACAGCGCCGGCUCUGAUGAUGAUAUCAACAUCCUCCCCCUCUGGAUGGAGAGGGCCAAUUGACGUAUCGUCAUCCUCCUCACUCAAGGCUUGAUCAUCUUCCCCUUCCCCAUUGUUGUUACCCGGAUUGUACUCAAACUCGUCGUCAAGAUCGUCGUCAUCCACGACACUGAGAGACCUCGUCCAUAUUCUGUGAACCAGAAGUUUCAAAGUACCCAGUUGUUGAGGAUUAACCAACACAGCCAUCAACAUCGAUGAUUGGACCUUAAAACUCGAAAUACAGCUCUAGAUUGUUGCAGAUAGAGAAGUUAUUUACCUUGUAGUAAAAAGCUCCCCAAGACCCUUUAUCGGUGCAUGGUCGGAGACAGUACCCAGAAAUCGUAUUACCGGCGACCAUAGAAUGACGAUAGUACACGGUCUGAAGGAUGGCCUUCGCCGGGAUAUUCAUUUUCUUUAGGAAACCAGGAAUUGCUUAGGCGAAGGUGGGGGUUGAACUCAUCUUUACUCUCCGAGAGUGCCCACCGGCAUACUAAAAUCUGAUGUUUGAGUUCAAGUAAUGGCCCCCACAUCAGAGAAUGGAGGCGAACUCAACCAUUAUAUAUUGUGAAAGACAGAGACAAGAACAGAGUGAAGAAAUGGAUUUCAAAACUUUCAUUCAUUUGCAGGAUUCCCCAACCGAUUUACAGCUGUCUACAGCUUUUGACCAUGGGGCUACAGCUUUUGGAAACUAUGGCAACUUUGGACCAUGGGUUGUACAGUUUUAUAAUUUACUCAACUUUGAAAAAAUUUGAAACAAAACUAAUUUAUUAAAAACAAUUAAUUCUUCUACUCAACAUUGCAUAACAAGUACAUAAAUAUUACAACACCCUAAACCUUCUAAUCUUCGUAUUUGCAGCCUUCAAGUCUUUAGUGAGAGCCUUGAUGUACCUAUCCUUUGACCGUAUGAUGCCUAUCCUCUCAUGUUUCCAUUCAGAAUGAUCAUGUGCCAGCUCAGCACAAAUAGCUUCAAUCUCAGCAUCUUUCUAACCAAGCUUCGCGUCCAUUGUAGCUCCCAUCUCGCUCCUCACCGAGUUCUCAGCCAACACCACCUCCAACUUCUUCUUCAACCUACACUUAUAGAAAGGACAAUUGAAGUGUUUCUCGAACUUCAGCGUCAUUAGUCUCGCUGCACUAAAUCCGCAAUCGCACUUCACUUCUUCUCCGAAGUAGGCGAACAAAUCCUUUGACUUGCUUGAAGACAUUUUGACAAAGAGUAGGAGGAAGUGAGGAGUACAGAAAUUGGUAUAACGAGUGAGUUCUUACACCACAAAAUGCACGAUUUACAUAGGCUGAAAAUACCGUUGGAGGGACCCUAGGAUGCGUCGUGCGUUGUAAGUGAUUGGAAUUCCCAAAUUGUAUAAUUUACGUUUUGAAUUGAUUAUCUACGUAAUUUUUGAUAUAAUCUUGCCUACAAAAAAAAUUUCCUGUUUUUAUGAGCAAGGUCCCUCUCUUUUAAGAGCUAAUCCGUAGACAGGGAAAUUAAUAUUUGCCGAAACAAAUAAAUAUCUGUUAGAGGUAUUUCUUUCAUUCAGAAAAAUUUUAAGUUUUUUUUUACUUUUUAGUUUCACCUUUAACAAUUUCACUCUAUGGAUUAUGGAAUGUUUGGAUUGGGUUUCUGAGAAUGGAAAUCAAACUACAAUACACAAAUGUUGCAUGAAGUUUAAAAUAAAUUUUGGAAUGGUCAUUUAAGAGUAAAUGACGUUAUUUUGUUACGCAUUGAUCACUAAAACCCGUCUGAAAUUUUUUUGCCCGUCUCUUAACACUAAAAAUCAAGUAUAAGCAAAAUAAAUAUACAACCCAAAAUAAUAAAACUCAAGUACAUAACCAUAACCCUAAACCCAGCACAACAAACCUAAAACUAAAAAUCAAGUACACGCAAAACGAGUACACAACCUACAACAACAAAAAAUUAAGUACAUAAUUCUAACCCUAAAACGGAUACAAAAAUCAAGUACAUAACCCUAACCCUAACCUGAGUAUAAAAGUUAAAACAACAAACCUAACACUACAAAUCAAGUACAAGCAAACGAACAACAACAAAGAAACAAGUAUAGAACCUAACCCUAAACCGAGUACAAAAACAAAAAAAAAGUAACCAGUAAAAUGAGUACAAAUUGGAAAAUAUACAAACCAAUCGAGGAAUCAAAUUCCUUACCUAUCCUUUCGAAUGGCCGAUAAGUUGAGUUAAUUCUACGCCCUCGACCCUGACCACGUCACACCAUUUGCUUUCAAAAUUAUCUUUAACUAGGUUUUGUUUAUGCUCUGUGAGUACUUGAAAAGAUUGACCAAACUUAAAAAUGCCAGAAGUGCAAUCUCGCUUGAUACAUGAAAUUCCAGAGAUAAUUGGAGAUGACAGAAAGGUGGGAUCAGAGUGCACGCAAUUGUCAUACCAUGAUGAACUAGAAGCGAGUCAACUACUAGAUAUCGAAUCGAAUUAAAAAAACUAACCAUAAAAAGAAAUGAAAACUAAAAUGAAAAAUUUACCCCGUUUAAUUUGGUACUCUCAUCUGUUAGGUUUAAAGUUCAAGAUAGGCGGUUGAGAUGGCUCCUUGCUGCCAUCAAAUAGACCUUCUUUAUUUGUUGCCGACCCAAAGUCCUCUUUUAAACCUUGAAGAGGAAUAACAAGAUUUCGGCCCUAUAUUUCCUUACACAUAAUAAUUUAAAAAGGAUAAACAGUACAUAAUAACAAGAUCGCAUAUAGGAAAGCAGUAGUAAAAAACUGUCCAUAUUAUAUUGUUUAUGGACGGAUAAUUUUUGUGUUUGAAACAAUAAAUGCACUCUUGACUUUUUAACGAUUUAUCAAUUACACGGUCCAUAUCUCUUCAAACAAUGUUCGAACGAGGGUGUUCAAUACCUAUGAUGGGUAUCUACUGCUAUCUAUGACUACUAUUGAGAUUCUGAGAGAGCUCCAAACUAAAAAGACUAUGACUACGAACAAAGUAAAUUGGGCAGAGUGUCUACUUGAUGAAAUUUUUGUUCGUCUCUUCUGUUGAUCGUCCUUGGUACUUAUAGAUAGUUGUAGGUAGUACGAGGCAACUGUUGCGGAGGUUACCUCCCACGUCGUGAUUGUGGGUGCAAUUUCUUCUCUUUUCUUUCUCAACCACCUAAACGUGGUGUUGUUGGCAGUUUCUUCUCUUUGACGACCUUGAUUUGUUAUAGUUGAUGGCUUAAUAAAAUGCCAAUGGGUUGUUGACAAGGUCCUUAUUGCUAGGAAGCAACUUAUUUAACUUAUUUUUAAGUAAUAUAAAAUUUUAUGGCUUAGUGAAACCAUGUAAACCGCAAUACACCGACAUGAUGAUAGGUAAUCAUAAGAGGUAAGGUGAUCGAUGGUGAGCUGACAUUUAGUCGACGCUCAACUCUAUUGAUGCCUUAAUUUAAUAAAUCCAUAGUCGACUAGGAGACGAUCGAUGCUAUGCAGUAAAUAUUUAUUAGUUUAAUAAAAUCAUUCAAUUAUUUUUCAUCGUUGAUAAUCAAGAAGCAAUCGACUAGGUGAUCAUCGAUAGUCAGCAAUGAGAUAUUAUUUAUUUAUGGCUUAAAUAAACCAUUAAUAUCUUGGACCAUGAGGUAGUUGACUGGGUGAUAGUCAAUAAACAAUGUGACCAUCGAUAGGGAGCUCAGAUUCAACUGGGUAACGUUCGAUGGCUUAGGUCCAUUAAACCAUAAUUAACAAGGAGUCGAUAGAUGGAAAGACUGUCGAUGAAAGGUAGCCGACGAAGAUAACUUUUAAAUUAAUCAUCCAAUAUUCUCAACAUUGGCACUAGAUAAACUGAGAGACUGUCAAGGGGAAGACUAUCAACGGCAAUAUCGUCGAACUCAUCCUUAUCUAAAGUUCUCGUGGAAACCAGCGAAUGAGAGACCGUCGAUAGGGAGGUACGGAUUAGGUAAAUACGAGAAAAUAUUUAUUUAUGGCUUAAAUAAACUAUUUAAUAGUUUUUGCAUUGGUGAAGCAGUCGAUCGAGAGACCAUCGAUGAGAGGCAGAAAUAAACUUGGAUUGGCUAUGAUAAUUGAAUAAUAGCUUUAUCAUAAUUAAAAGUGAUGUAUAUCAUAUUUUUUAUGUAAACAAAUACCCCAACAACUUAAUGUUUAAGGAUUAUAUACUACAUUCUAAACACUAAUACUUCUUCUAUUCAAAAAUUCACUUGGCACAAUCAAUCACACCAAAAAAUCAUGACCAUAUCCAUAACAUCUGGCCAUAAAAAGGUAGAAAAGGCUUAGUCAUUUCCUGCUAAUUCCUUGAUAGAAACACAUUAAUAAUUCCCAAUAGGGAAAAUAAGAUACCAAAGCCAAAGAGGGAGAGAAACAUAAAAACCCUAAGCUUUAACGUGUUUUACCAAUAUUAAGGGUAUUAUUACUUUUUACUCCUUAUUAUUCGUGGCAAGAUCAUGUCCUUCUCCUAAUAAAAUUUGACCCCAUAAAUCUCCCUUCUUCAACAAGGAUAAGGAAAAUAUUACAUGAUAAAAAUAAUCCUCUCUCCCCAAAUCUUCACCGUGUCAUGAUUUUCACAGUCAACAUGCAUACACUUUUUUUUGCCUUACCAUGCUUGGCAAAGAUAAAUUACAAGUAUCCUUCUUCUAAUUAAAUUUAACUUUUUGAAUCGUUUUCCUCAAUCGGAAAAAGAUAUUCGAAACUCCAUUUUUAUCUUUAAACAGAGCUCAUCACAUCUUUCAUCCUUCACAAUUCUCACUUACACAAUUGAAAAUCUUAGAAGCACAAAAUCAUACUUUAGAUAUCUCAACUUCCAGCACAUACCUAGUAAGAGGCAUAGAUUCUUUUUCCCUUCUUUUUUACUAAUCGCCAAUGGCCACUGGCCACUUUUUAAAUUAUACUAAAAAAAUAUUCAUGUGCUAUUCACGCAGCACUAUUCGAGCAGUAUUCACAUCACUGUUCAUCGUGCAGUACUAUUCAUUCCAAUCUUUUUUUAAAGAUCAAUAUUGUAAUACUUUGAAAUUCUUCUUGAUACAAAAUGGCUAAUUCAAAAAUCAACCGAGUAUAAAAUAUUGUGCGAAGAUGAAAGUGUGGAUAUGGAUGACCGCACAUUACUUGAUGAUGGAAAAGCUAUAUUGAGUCCUUACUUCACCAGUGUCAAUGUAGCUCCUAAACUUUCUCAUCUCAAGUAUCCAUACAAUGGCGCGCCCAUAUUAGUCAAGAUUCUACCUAAAAAAUCUUAACAUUCCUCGUUUCUAUCUAGUAAAUUGAAAAACCAUAAACCAAUCAACUCUUGGCCAUUGAAGGAUUUAGAUUUCAAUAUUUGGUAUGGACGACUGCAUAACGAUAAGGCUACAAGAGAUCUUUGGUCAAAGGCAGGCAUCUCUAGACUGUUAUCGAUUCCAACUAAAAUUCCGAAAUCAGACAAUCCAUUAUUUAAAGCCGCAUUAUGCUUAUGGAGCACAGGGUCCAACUUUUUUAUCUUUCGGGAUUUGAUAGGUGCCACGACAAUCACUCUCAUGGAUAUGGUCACCAUCACUAAGCUCUGUCUACCCUCCAUUAAUAGUCAGCCAACAACAACUAAGGAUGAGUAGUUUGCUCUUGAACCUAAGUCUUCGCUUCCAUAUAUCAUGGCAUGUACACUCUCCCCCGACAACUUAUUUCUACACCUUUCCCUACAGGGUCUGGUCCUCUAUGGCUGGUAUCUAUAUGGUUGUAUACCUAUUUUUCCAAGUUACGAGGAGAUGUGAUCCCCCCAAGCAAUGACAGUCUGCAUUACUCAUAUGGCAAUGAAGUCAUAACCACUCCUUCCCUGAAAAAGGAUUUCACCUAUUAUUUCAAGUAAUUUUAUUCCAUAGUUUCUCUCGUAUGCUUUGGUCCCUUUAAAGAUCGUAGUCUGAAGAACUUAUCCUUCACGUGAAUUCAUAUUAUGAGGCCUGACGUCAACGACCCAAUGUUUGGUUUUUAUCAACGGUAUGUCUACGAAUGGAAAAACUUGAUUUCUACAUGGGAUCUCUUCAUCAACGUUUUUUUGGUAAAAAAACAUAAUAAUGGCAGAGAAGUAUAACCCGCACUAUGUCGCUCGCCAGUUUGGCCUUACUCGGAUGUGGCCCGUGUCAAUACCAUAUUCAUCCCAAUUUAGUGCUUUGGAAAACCAUACCACAUUGUUAAAGGAAGUGGUCCAAUGAUUAUCCUCAAUACUGUGCCAACACAUGGCAUCAAUAUAUUUCAACCACUUCACCUCGUCGCCUCCUUCAUUUAAAACUCGACUGAAAGAGGUCAUUAGAGAUAGUCUCAUCUUUGACACUAAUAUGAAUGUUGUUGCCCAAGGCCUACUCACCGUGGUUUCAAAUGAUAAGAAACUAAACUCUGAUCAUGAAAAAGAAGGUCCACAAUCAUCCAACACUUUUUCUACCAAGCAAGUUAUAUGUAAGUGUCUUACUUGAAUUAUUUUACCAUUGUUCAUCAUUUUUUUUAAUAUGUCCCAAUCACUUUAUCAUUCAUUGUGACCUCUUCAACUUCUAGCCCAUCCGAAAACUUGUGCCAAACACCCAAACCACAUUGGGUUAGCGACUCAUCAUCCACCCAACACGAUGGUUACCAGACAAAUACCUUAAACACCCAAUCUUACUUUUCCUCUUUUGUUUACGUGGUCACGAUGCCUUAGAUUACACCAAUGAUUUCAUCUUUUUUUUACGUGGUCACCAUGCCUUAAAUGGUGAUGUGUCCCUUGAUCUUGAUGAGACGAAAGAAUAUCAAGGUGAGAUAGAUAUGGAUCAUGAGAUAGAUGACGAGACAUGUGAUAAUCCCUCAUAUGUACUCAACCACACAGAAAAGGUCACCUACAAAUAACAAAGACAGUAGAGUGGUUACUUCUACCCUAACAUUUCACAACACCCGGUCGCAAACAUCAAAUCCUCUUCGGCCAACCAUGACACAUAGCUCAUAAUCUAUCCCUCUUGGAUUUCUAUCUUUCGCUAAUAACUCAAAACUUUCCCUCAAGUGCAUUAAACUCUGGUAAAGCCCCUUUUUCAAUUUCCUCUAUUCAUUUAUUUUUCCACAGCUAAGAAGGUGUUGGAGCCAUCAUAAUGAAUAUCGUGUUGGAGGAUCACGAUGGUCUAUCCCAUGACCAAUCGUUAUCCAGGCCCAAUAACGUCGCUGCCAAGCUGAUUUGUCACCUCCCAUAUCACAAGAUGCUCGUACUGAUCCUACACUUAAGGCAACUGGGAUCACCAAUCAGGCAAACUUCACUCAUGUUAUAAUUGGUCUUUACAUAAAUCAAUAUUUCUUAAGUAAUUUUAGAUUACUUUUCAGGGACAUACUAACCUUGAACGUGAGCUUGAAUACUUGGCUGCUUUGGAAAACCAAUUUUCGGGAUCCACACCCAACACUUGGCUGACUAAAGACUUCCUCUCUCAACCCUUGAAGGAUAUGCUUAGAUCAUUCAAGGUUGAGUGGCCUAGUGAUGCCUUUGAUUUUCUUGUUCGUCCAAAUAUCAAGCUCUCAUUCUUAGGACCAAACAAGACAUUGAUGAAAACUCUCCAAGGCUCCUCUUCCGGCAUCAAGACAUGGCUUGGCGUCCUUAAACAAAAUCAGAGUUUCAAAUCCAAAUGCCCACCCAAGUUCACAAAAGGAGCGUGGCAUGUCAAGUCAUUAGAGAAAAACCAACAAUAGGUAAAGGCCUAUUUAGUGAGAUGGCAAGUUUGGAUGCAAAGGAGGUAGCAUGUCAAAACUGGAUAUCAGAGUUGGAGGCUGAGCUUCUCCAUUUUCACAAUGAAGUAGGUGAGAUCCAAACUCAAAUGAAAACCAAAUCCGUCAACUUCAAAGAAAUCGUGAAUGAGGUUCACAUAGCUAAUGACAAAGAAAAGUCUCGCAUGUCCAUGGAUCAAGUCAUCUUGCAGAAAGAGCACAUUAUCCAGAUACGGGUAGAAAAUAUGACCAAACUGAUUACCCCGAAUACCAUCAUGGAAGAACUCCUCAUUUUUUAAGUCUAAUCAUAAGCCAUAACUUCCUCAUUCUGUUCAUGUUUCUUUUCUUUUGUUUGUCUAGUUUUCUAUUUGCUGCACCCAUUAUUUUUGUCACAUAUGGGCUGGCGUUUUGAGGCUCAAUCUGGGCCGUCCAAUUUCGAAAAAAGAAAAAUAAUUUACAAAAGAAGCACUCAACUUAAAUAGUGUAAUUAAAAAGUCUACAACUUUUCCAUUUUGUCAAAUGAGGAAUUGGUCUUGGUGAAUUUUUUUAAAAUCAUCAUAACAUCUUCAUAGUACUCCUAGCAUCACCUAAAGUUUAUAUUUUAUCUUUGGAUGUCAACAAACUAACACAUCCAUCAUUGUAAUAUUUUUCAGCAAGCUCAGAGUUCAGGGGACUGUUUUGGACCGAUUGCAGGGUGAAAGUGAUCGAAAGCACAGUGAAGUUUCAGCCAUGAGGAUGAACCUUGUGGAUGUGCACAAGUCGCAUUACCGCGGCACCUGACACAUUAGCCUGUAAAUGUUUCAAUAUCUUAAUGUAAUUUUGUACAUUUAAGAAUCAUGUGCAAUUUGAAUAAUAAUUUUAUCUAUUGUUAUGGUUACUCAGCCAAACCAAAACGGGUGAAACAAAGUUAAAUUGGUAGAGUACUUUUAAGUUGUGUGUAGAUACAAAAAUUAUUAAAUACACAUACGGACAUACGGGUAAGAUGUGGAUAGUAAAAUAUCAUUUGUUAAACCGUAAUAAAACUUUAAACAUUCAAUCAAAUCAUUAUUUAAUUAAGUCAUGACCGUAGCCCGUACAUUGCCGCGGCGCCACCAAGCACAUUAGCUUGUUUUCAUAUUUUAUUUGGGGAAGGUUUUGAAAAGGAGAAAGGUGUUCCAUCGAUAAUUACAAGGAGCCCUUCAUGGGUUAACGUAAAGAUGGGGAAAAAUCAUAAUUGCAAGAAGAGCUUACUGAGUGGAUAUGUUUAUUAAAGUUAUCUAGACUUUAUCUCAUACAAUCCCGAUAUAAUUAUGAUUUGAUCGCAGUUUCAUGGUUUAUAAUUAUUUAAAUGGAAAAUACUUACGGUUAAACUAAACUCUUCACAUCCACAUAAUGACUCAUAACCCAAUUAACUUACAAAUAAACCUCAAUUGACCCAUUAAAAGAAUCUUGAAUGAAUGAUCAUAUUAUAUGAGUUUAUGUUUGAUGAAUAUGUGUGACUCAAAUUGAAUCAACCCAAUCGGUGUUCUGAAUUGGUUAAGACAUAAUGAUCUGUAUAACCCUAGCCUUACCCCCACCCCACUAAUAUCCUAAUGGCUACUUUUCCUCUUACCCGCACAGCUCCGUCUCUCCCAUCUCGCUACAGCCUCCACACCACAAACUCACUCCAUUAUGGCCUCAAAGCAGUAGCAGAAGUCUGGCUCGCCGAAAAACUAGAAUGAAAGGGUCAACUGGCGGGCAGACUUCCGGAGGUAGCGUGCUCAACCUGCAACGCUCGACCCUGACCGACACCACCAUCGACGAUGCUGAUCCCAAUGUCAUGACAGUUGGACUGCGCACUACUCAAAUCAACAAAGCGGGACACACGAGUGUGUUUCCCUCACCAACAUAGAUUCUCACGGGGGUUGCGAAGUAGUCCUCGCUCCAGCAAUGUCACCUCGAGGAUCGGCCUUGCACCUUUUAUUUUGUCUUUGAGAUUCUUUUUUGCGUCAGUUUGAACUCUUUCCUUUGUUUUCUUGCUAGAGCUUAUAGGGUGGGUAAAUUAGCGCCUCUCACUUUAGUUCGGUCUUGUGAUCUAAAAGGCUUUGCUAUUGAUGAGAGCUUACACGUGGUGCAUAUGAUCUUGUGUCAUUGCAACCCCCUUGUAACCCGUUGAGUUGCACCUCACGGUUUACCACCAAUACGUUGAAUGUGGCUUCGUUGCAAAUUUUAAUAGAAUUAUGCGUAUGUCGUUUCAUAAAAAAUGUAACUUCAAUCGGCUUGUUAAAAGAAUCCUGAACAAAUGCUUAGGUUUUAAGGAUUUCUCCAAUUGAGAUAGACUCAAUAUUGAUUAGCUUUCUGAUUUUGUCCAGAGUUAAUGAUGCGUAACUUUAUUAACUUACGAAAAGAGAACCUUAAUUUGGCAGUUUAGAAAAUACUCGAUUAAAUCAUUUAAGUUUUUUUUAAUGUCUAUAAGAUAUAUGUUAUUAUAUGCUAUCAUAUAUGUUAAGAACGGUGAAUUCUUCAGUAUACCUGGUUACCGAAACUUUCAGUAUGCCUAGUUUUUUUUGGUAACGUAAAUCCAUCACCACCGUCCAUUUUCAGUUUGCGAUCUCGACGGUUCAUAAUUAUUCAAAUAUUAAAUUUUUAUUUCACAUUUUAUUUUUGUUAUUCAAAUAUUAAAUUUUUAUUUAACAUUUUAUUUUUGAUCUCAUAUGUUUUCUCAAUUUGACAAAAGAUCUUGUUUUCUCAAUUUGACAAAGGAGCUUUAGCAAGCUAAGGCAGCAGCUCAGAGAGCAAGAGAGGAAGACGAAGGAAACACAACUCCAAAAAAUGCAGUAAAAUAAAAAAAUUCUGAUGCUUCUAAACAAGACUUGGGACAUUCUGCAACUGAAAAACAAACAAAACACAAUGUAUGGCACCCUAAAGUGACAGCAAAAAAUAGAAGCAACAAUUUCAAUUAAACCACAUGAUAUUUUUUAUUUGAAAUGAUAUGAAAUUUUGGAUCAAUUACAAUCCAAUUUCAAAUCGCAAACUGAAAUCAAAAAUAAAAUGUGAAAUAUAAAUUUAAUAUUUGAAUAAUUAUGAACCGUNNNNNNNNNNAAUUAUGAACCGUCGAGAUCGCAAACUGAAAAUGGACGUUGGUGAUGGAUUUACGUUACUAAAAAUAACUGGGCACACCGAAAAUUUUAGUAUCCCUGUUAUACUAAAGAAUUCAUCAUUAAGAACAUAUAUGCUAUUAUAUAUUAGGAUUUAAUGUCGAAUGAAUCGUAUCAUAGGCCCGUUACAUUGUUAAGGAACAAAUUUCUUGAAGGUGCUUGAAAUUGUUUAUCGUAUAGUAGAUUUCAAGACAUCGUAGAAUGUUUUUUUAAUUACAUCGUAGAGUGUGUAUUGGUUGAACUCCUUUUAGAAUCAUUGAGUUUGUUAGUUGAACCUUAUAUUGUUUUGACUAACGAUNNNNNNNNNNNNNNNNNNNNNNNNNNNNNNNNNNNNNNNNNNNNNNNNNNNNNNNNNNNNNNNNNNNNNNNNNNNNNNNNNNNNNNNNNNNNNNNNNNNNNNNNNNNNNNNNNNNNNNNNNNNNNNNNNNNNNNNNNNNNNNNNNNNNNNNNNNNNNNNNNNNNNNNNNNNNNNNNNNNNNNNNNNNNNNNNNNNNNNNNNNNNNNNNNNNNNNNNNNNNNNNNNNNNNNNNNNNNNNNNNNNNNNNNNNNNNNNNNNNNNNNNNNNNNNNNNNNNNNNNNNNNNNNNNNNNNNNNNNNNNNNNNNNNNNNNNNNNNNNNNNNNNNNNNNNNNNNNNNNNNNNNNNNNNNNNNNNNNNNNNNNNNNNNNNNNNNNNNNNNNNNNNNNNNNNNNNNNNNNNNNNNNNNNNNNNNNNNNNNNNNNNNNNNNNNNNNNNNNNNNNNNNNNNNNNNNNNNNNNNNNNNNNNNNNNNNNNNNNNNNNNNNNNNNNNNNNNNNNNNNNNNNNNNNNNNNNNNNNNNNNNNNNNNNNNNNNNNNNNNNNNNNNNNNNNNNNNNNNNNNNNNNNNNNNNNNNNNNNNNNNNNNNNNNNNNNNNNNNNNNNNNNNNNNNNNNNNNNNNNNNNNNNNNNNNNNNNNNNNNNNNNNNNNNNNNNNNNNNNNNNNNNNNNNNNNNNNNNNNNNNNNNNNNNNNNNNNNNNNNNNNNNNNNNNNNNNNNNNNNNNNNNNNNNNNNNNNNNNNNNNNNNNNNNNNNNNNNNNNNNNNNNNNNNNNNNNNNNNNNNNNNNNNNNNNNNNNNNNNNNNNNNNNNNNNNNNNNNNNNNNNNNNNNNNNNNNNNNNNNNNNNNNNNNNNNNNNNNNNNNNNNNNNNNNNNNNNNNNNNNNNNNNNNNNNNNNNNNNNNNNNNNNNNNNNNNNNNNNNNNNNNNNNNNNNNNNNNNNNNNNNNNNNNNNNNNNNNNNNNNNNNNNNNNNNNNNNNNNNNNNNNNNNNNNNNNNNNNNNNNNNNNNNNNNNNNNNNNNNNNNNNNNNNNNNNNNNNNNNNNNNNNNNNNNNNNNNNNNNNNNNNNNNNNNNNNNNNNNNNNNNNNNNNNNNNNNNNNNNNNNNNNNNNNNNNNNNNNNNNNNNNNNNNNNNNNNNNNNNNNNNNNNNNNNNNNNNNNNNNNNNNNNNNNNNNNNNNNNNNNNNNNNNNNNNNNNNNNNNNNNNNNNNNNNNNNNNNNNNNNNNNNNNNNNNNNNNNNNNNNNNNNNNNNNNNNNNNNNNNNNNNNNNNNNNNNNNNNNNNNNNNNNNNNNNNNNNNNNNNNNNCAUCCAUAUUGUUGUGAAAGCCUCUUGGCUAGUUUAGCUCGUUUGAUUUCGAGAUAGUAGACGUGGGCCUAGUUCUAUUAGACUAUUCCGCAUUAAACGUUAGAGGCAAAACUUGAAAAACAUAUUAUUAAAUUACCCGCAUUCCCAUAACAUGAGGUGUAGCCAUUUUGAACAAAUAAUUGGGGCUUUUGAUAAAUUUAGAUGAACGCGAGUCAGGAUUGUUACAAGACUGAGUCGAGUAUUAAGUCAUUGGAUGGGAGUGGUACGUGUCGUCUGGUAGCAAGAGGUCGAUAUGAACUCUACAACCCAGACGAAAUUUGGUUACUACACUAGAUUUAACAUUGCAUAAUCGAAGUGCAUCACACUAAUCUGUAAAGUGCAACGUGGAUGGUUGAAGUGCACCAUAUCAAAGCGCAGCGUGCAUAACAGAAGUGCACCAUUCCAACUUGCAUGGUGCAUAGUGCAUGGUGGAAGUGCAAAAUACCAAGGCGCAAUGUAUUUAGUGGGAGGGCCUUGGAACAAGGUGCAUGUUGCAUUGUGCAUGGAAGAAUGGCAGAUCUAUGAGACACAAAUCUAAUCCUUCUCAAAUUUCCAUGAGACGCAAAUCUAAUCCUUCUCGAAUUGCCAGACUGAUCAAAUAACGAAAAGUAGUUGCAUCCACCACAGGAGAAUAUGUCUCCUCAUAAUCAAUUUCGGGUCUUUGUGACAAUCCUUGGGCAGCAAAGCGUGCCUUGUACCUCGUAAUUUCACCAUUUUCAUUACGUUUUCUUACAAAAACCCAUCAGGUGUAAGGACCACAGGUCCAAAAACUUUUCGUUUUUCAAGAGAAUGUAAUUCUUCCUUAACUGCGUCAUUCCAUUUUGACCAAUCCUUUUGUUUUUUGCAUGCAUUCAUGGAUUUUGGCUCAUGACCCUCAUUUUCAUCAAUAACAUUCAGCGCUGAAUUAUAAGCAAAAAUUUCAUCGAUGUUAACUGUAUUGCGGUUCCAUUGAAUUAUAAGCAAAAACUUCAUCGACGUUAACUGUCUUGCGGUUCCAUUGUUUACCAUCCAAGACAUAGUUGAUUGAGAUCUCUUUAUUUUCAAUAUGUUCAGGUACCUGAUGCUGUUCUUGAGCUGAUAUAUCAGCAAUGUUUGAUAGCUUAUCCUCGAUUGGACCAUCUUGAUUUAUAGCUCCUUUUCUUUUUCGAGGAUUUUUAUCUUUGGAACCGAUAGGUCUACCACGCUUCAGACGUGCUUUAGACUCAUUUGUAUUUUCAUGAUGUCCAAUAGGGACAUCUACUCUUGAUGGAGCAUUCAUUGCUGGAACAUGAGAUUUGGUUACUCGAUGUGGGUCAGUAAAAGCGUCUGGCAGUUGAUUCGCUAAACUUUGUAAAUGAAUUAGCUUUUGAAUUUCUAGUUCACAUUGUCUAGUACGAGGAUCAUAAUGAGAUAAUGCUAAUUCAUUCCAACUGAUCUCUUUGUCCAGCUUAUUAUUUUCUCCCCCUAAUGUUGGGAAAACUGAUUCAUCAAAGUGACAAUCAGCAAAACGAGCUGUGAAUAAAUCUCCUGUCAUUGGUUCUAAAUAUUUUAUAAUCGAGGGAGACUCAUACCCAACAUAAAUUCCCAACCUCCUUUGAGGUCCCAUCUUAGUGCGUUGUGGUGGUGUAAUAGGGAUGUAAACAGCACAUCCAAAUAUUCUUAGAUGGGAUAUAUUCGGUUCCUGACCAAAAACCAUUUGUAAGGGGGAAUACUCGUGAUAACUUGUUGGCCUGAUGCGAAUUAAUGAUGCUGCAUGUAAGACAGCAUGCCCCCAACAUGAAGUGGGAAGCUUUGCCUUCAUUAACAAUGGUCUUGCUAUUAACUGUAAGCGUUUGAUUAGAGAUUCUGCUAAACCAUUUUGUGUAUGAACAUGUGCUACAGGAUGUUCAACAUCAAUUCCGACAGACAUGCAAUAAUCAUUAAAAUGUUGUGAAGUAAAUUCACCAGCAUUGUCAAGGCGUAUCGUUUUUAUCGGAUAAUCCGGAAACUGUGCCCGUAAUCUGAUCAAUUGAGCAAGUAAUCGCGCAAAUGCCAAAUUACGAGUGGAUAAUAACGAUACAUGUGACCACUUAGUUGAUGCAUCAAUUAAAACCAUAAAAUAUCUAAAUGGUCCGCAUGAUGGAUGAAUUGGUCCACAAAUAUCGCCUUGAAUGCGUUCCAAAAAUGUGAGCGAUUCAUUUCUCACUUUUAUCGAUGAUGGUCGGAUAAUCAAUUUUCCUUGAGAACAUGCAAUACAAGCCAAAUCAUUCGAUUGGGGAAUUCGCUUACUCAUCAACGAGUGUCCAAGGGAAUUCUCAAGUAUUUUACGCAUCAUAAUUGUUCCGGGAUGGCCUAACCGGUUAUGCCAAACUACAAAUCUAUCACGAUCCAUAAACUUGGAGUUUAUAAUGGAAUGUGAUUCAAUUGUACUAAUAAAAGUGUAGUACAAACCAGAAGAAAUAGAUGGUAGUUUUUCAAGAUAACAUUUGUUACCAUCUACCAUACUUGUGAUGGCAAUAUAUUCUUUAUUUUCUUCCUCAAUUGUCUCGAUGUGAUAUCCGUUACGACGGAUAUCUUUAUAACUUAAUAAGUUGCGGUGAGACUUUGUAGAAUAUAAUGCAUCAUCAAUAUGCAUUCUAGUUCCUCCGUGUAGUAGCACGGUUGCUCUUCCGGAGCCUUCAAUUAAAUUACUACUACCGGAUAUAGUGCUAACAUUAGCUUCUCGCAUCACUAGAUGAGAAAAAUACUUCUUAUCCUUUAGAAUAGUAUGAGUGGAAGCACUAUCGAUGAGACACACAUCCUCAUUUUUUAUGUUGUCGUGGAUGGCAGUAGUAUCCAUGCUAUAACACGAAAAUGAUAAUCCAUAUUAGAAGGGACAAUUAUGAUGGGAAAUUCAUUAAUAAAAAGAAAUAAAAAAAAUGAGAAAACACGUUCAAGAAAAACAAACUCAAACAAAUCAAAUGAGAACGAUAAUAAGGUGCAUACAUCAAGGCACCAUUUUUGUAAUAAAAGAUAUCUCAACAACAAUCUUAUUUCUCAACAUUUCCAUCAUGAGGAGGAAAGAAGUCAGCAACAUCCAGAUGAGUGGUGUCAAAUUGGCCAUGGUUCAAAACACCUUCCUCAAUGACCAUAUUGGUUUCAACCUUCUUGUCUUUCCUUGACUCUUGGUAAAGAUUGAUAAGAUGUCUAGGUGUACGACAAGUGCGAGUCCAAUGAUCGCCGCCACAUCUAGUACACAUAUUUUGAAAGUUUCUGUUGCUAGGCCCACCUCGUUCCUUAUUCAUUCGCCCAUCCCGUUUGAAAUGUGGACGAGAAGAGUGGUUGAAUCUCUGAAGGCGACCGUGACCAUAAUCACNNNNNNNNNNNNNNNNNNNNNNNNNNNNNNNNNNNNNNNNNNNNNNNNNNNNNNNNNNNNNNNNNNNNNNNNNNNNNNNNNNNNNNNNNNNNNNNNNNNNNNNNNNNNNNNNNNNNNNNNNNNNNNNNNNNNNNNNNNNNNCCACGACCACGAUAUUGAUCAAAAUUGUGGCCAUUUGUCGCGUUAGCUUCCGGAAAUGGAGCCAUACCAGUGGGGCGUGAUUGGUGAUUUUUCAAUAAGAGGUCAUUGUUUUGCUCGGCCACUAAGAGACAUGAUAUUAAUUCAGAAUAUUUGGUGAAGCCCUUCUCCCGAUAUUGUUGUUGGAGAACUAUAUUGGAAGCAUGGAAAGUGGAAAAUGUCUUCUCGAGCAUUUCCUUAUCAGUGAUUUUCUCGCCACAUAGCAACAACUGCGCGCAAAUUUUGAAGAGGGCAUAAUUAUACUCGCUCACGGAUUUGAAAUCUUGUAGGCGUAAACGCACCCAAUUAUCACGAGCUCGAUGGAGAAUCACUGUUCUCUGGUGGUCAUAUCGGUCUUUGAGAUUAUUCCACAAUUCGAGAGGAUCUUUGAUGGUGAGAUACUCAUUUUUCAAGCCCUCGUCAAGAUGGUGGCGAAUAAAGAUCAAAGCCUUGGCUUUGUCUUGGGCAGAUAUUUCUGUUUCAUCGUUAAUCGUGUCGCCCAACCCUUUGGCUUGCAAAUGGAUGUCAGCAUUAAUCGUGUCGCACACCCCUUUGGCUUGCAAAUGGAUGUCAGCAUCUAAGACCCAUAAGAGGUAAUUUUUGCUCGAAAUGUCAAGGGCCACAAACUCAAGUUUGGAAAUAUUUGACAUGCUAUAAAAGAAGCAAAUUGAAUUACAAAUAUAUUAUAAGCCAAAUAAUAAAACAUAUGAAAAAUGAUAUAAUAAUUAAAAUAGUAACGGUAAUGGAACGUUCAUUAACAUAGAAAUAAAGAACGCUUUAAAGAAAUAAUAAUAAUAAUAAUAAUAAUAAUAGUGGCAUACCCAUCUUGAAACAUAACUAUAUAGACAUUUAAAUAGUGAUAGAGGUUUUCUCUUUAGGGUAGGAACAAAAAAACAGAGGNNNNNNNNNNNNNNNNNNNNNNNNNNNNNNNNNNNNNNNNNNNNNNNNNNNNNNNNNNNNNNNNNNNNNNNNNNNNNNNNNNNNNNNNNNNNNNNNNNNNNNNNNNNNNNNNNNNNNNNNNNNNNNNNNNNNNNNNNNNNNNNNNGAUCAUGAAUUAAAAAAGCAACAUACAAGCAAAAAAAACACUAUGGAAAGAAACGGAAGAUAUAAAAUAUGAUAGGUCAUAAUAAUAUAUACUAUAAAAUAUACAUGAUGAUAACUAAACGUUUAGGCCAGCCUAUAAAGGCAUGAUAUUUGACCAAUAUAAACGUUUGAUUAUAGUCAUCAAUAGAAAAAUGACAAAGUCGUUUUUGAAAUCGGUAAAAUGAGAAAGACCACCAUUUGUUACAUAUAAAAAAAAUAGAAAUGGAUUCCUUUCUCUAACUCUAAUUUUGAAAAAGAAGAUUUUAUAAGCAAAUAGAACAAGAUAAAAAAUAAUAAUAAUAACUUUGGAAAACAAGAUAUAGCAAAUAACAACCUUCGUGAAACUUUGAAAAAAUAGGCAGACACUCGUGCUGAUAACGUGUUAUAAAACUAAGAACAAAGAAGAGAACAAGAACAUGGGAGGAGAAGUACUUUCUUAUUGAGGUGUGUGGAAUGCUACAAAUGAGAGCUCUAUUUAUAGGCUCAUGAAAUCAUAACCUACACUCUCUAAUAUUAUUACACAUAAAAGAGGGGAAUGAAAUACAUUAAAUCAUACACAUAAAGGAGGGAAAUAAAAUACAUUAACCAUAGAAAAAGGAGUUACACAAUUGGGCAUUCAUUACAAUUAUCUUCAUAACAAAUAUUAAAUUUUCUUUUGCUUCAACUAUUCACAUUUCUUUUAAUAAAAACAAUUUGGUUAAGCAAAUGAAGAGAUAUGAUUAGUGGGAUGGAGAAAAAAAUAGGGCAAUAAGAAUUGAUAAAAGUCGACUGGAUGCCAGUCCAUUGGAUGGAAGUCUAUGGAAGGAAGCAAAGUGCCACUUAAACCAAACGCCUAUCUUCAGUGUGAUGGUACGGUCGCCUCUCAUUAGGACGCUAAGUUGUACCCUUGGUAACCAAUCUUAAAACUGAUAUCCAUUGACAUCCCACAAAUAUGGAACAUAAGACUUCACAUAUUUACCAUUGAUAAGACAUUCAUGUAACACCCCGUCUAGAUCCUUUAACAAGUAUUCUCCGUUGGGCUGAGUAGCAUAGACAAUGAAGGGUCCACGCCGAAUAGGAUACCACUUACCAAAUUUGGGAUCCUUGUCUCCAAUAGGCAAGUGAAGUUUCCAGACCAACUCUCCUUCCUCAAACGACUUAUGCUUGACUCUCUUAUUAGAAGCUCGAGCAACCCUUUCCUUUUGUACUCUUAUGUUGUCAAGUGCCUUGAAUUGAAUCUCAUCAAGGUCCACUCACUCCAACAUCAUUGAUUCAUAAUACUUAGAAGGGGCCAACUCAUGUUGGCACAUGUACCUUGAGGAUUUAAGAUUCACCUCAACAGGUAAGAAAGUUGCAUGCCCAUAAGUCAAGGAAAAUGGUGUUAGCUUAGUACUGCAUAGAGGUAACAUCAUAUAUGCCCACAAAGCUUUUGAUAGUAGGAUGUGUCACUCUUUGGAGUUGUCUUCUAUCAUCCUUGAUUAUGUCCCCUUCACCACUUUUUAGAUGCCUUAGCUUGCCAUUGGCUUGGACGUAGUAUGAAGUGGAAUGUAUUAUCUUGAUACCAUACUCCUCGAUGAAGGCUAUUACUUGGUCUCCUGUGAAGACUGUCCCUUGAUCAGUUGUUAUAGUAGCUGGGAAACCAAAUCAAUAAAUCAUAUUCUCCUUGAUGAAGGUAAUCACUUCUCCUUGGUUGAUAACUCUCAUUGGCUUGGCCUCCACCUAUUUGGUAAAAUAAUCGGUUGCAAAUUAAUAAAUGUAUAUUGUUUAGAGAUCAGUGGAUAAAUAUUCAUGAUCAUGUCCAUUGCCCAGCCAAUGAAAGGUCGCGGCUUAAUGAUAGAUUUCAAAUCAAUAGUAGGGGCCCUCUACACUGGGCCAUUGCAAUGACACGCCUCACAGCCCUUAGUGUAUGCAGCUCAGUCUUCACCAAUAGAUGGCUAAUAGUAUCCAUAUCGAUGAAGUAUCCAUCUCAUCAAAAGAAAGCAUGAUGAAAUACACAUAUACCCUCAUGUACUUCGGCCAUUGCUUGUAAGGCCUCCUUGCCCUCCAAACAUUUUAGUAGGAAACCAUCUAGCCUCCUUUUGAACAGGGUUUCAUCCAUAAAGACAUAGUUCCUUACCCUAAACUUGAAGGUGUGAUAAGCAUCUUCGGUUGGGCUCGUUAGAUAUGCCAUUAAAGUGGUUUACCAAUCAUUGGCAGCUUAUUCAUUUAUGGUGAGCACCUCUACUCUCUGCUUUAAGCGUUCACACAAUGGGUUAAGUGUUCAUAGAGGAGUUUGUUCUCCUCAUAUGUGGGGAAACUCUCUAAAAUCGAAAGCUAGUUGGGCUAAGUAGUUUGCAAUCUUGGCGAGGGACAUACUUGAUAGAUACAUUGUCAAAGUAAGAGAGCAACAUUUGGAACGUGGUCAAGGUAUGUCUCCAACACAUAAUUUACAUAGUGAAAUUCACCAAGUACUUGGUAGACAACUAGCUGGGAGUCCCUUUUAAUAUUAACACUCCUAGUUUUCAAUUCAAUAAGUAUUCCCAUUCCUACCACCAAUGCCUCCUAUUCGGCUUGGUUAUUGGUGCAUGUAAAAUCAAGGGUACAUGAAAAAUGUAAGGCAUGCCCAGAUGGGGAAGUAAGUACCACUCCAGCACCAACAUCGACACAAGUUUUUGAACCAUCAAAGUACAAAGUCCAUGGAAUAUUACCAACCAUACCUAUCUCCACUGAGUCAGGCGGCACAUCCAAACAAUGGUGGUCUGCUAAGAAGUUAGCUAAAUCGUGUCCCUUGAUUGCUUUUUUAGGCACAUACUAUAAAUUGAACUCAGAUGGACGAAGUGUCCACUUACCAAUCCUCCCAUUGAUUAUUGAUCGGGAUAACAUGUAUUUAAUUUAAAUAUGUCUUAUACAAGAGUUGUACUUGAACAUGCAUCAAGUAAUACCUCAACUUUGUACAUGAGAAAAUAAAGCUAAACACAACUUCUCUAUGGUGGAAUAAUUAGCUCAGCCCAUUCAGCAAUCUACUUACGUAAUACAUAGCAUGUUCAUGGCCUGAGUCAUUUGAGUCUACAGACAUGUUACAGAGGUGUUAGUGGCUAAGAGGUACAACUUCAGAGGCCGAUGUGGGACUAAAGAGUAAGUACUAGCGGGCUCACCAAGUAUUCUUAAUUUCAUCAACAGCUUGUUGAUGAUCCUGACGCCACGCAAACUCUGCUUCUUUCGUUAAUUUCAGCAAGGGGGAGAACACAUGGAUUCGGCCAGCACAAUUCAAAAUAAACUAUCAAAUGUAAUUAACUUGGGCAAGGAACCUGUGUAGCUCCUUCUUGUUAGUUGGUGGCAUGGCCUCUAUUAUGGCAUUUGCCUUACUCUUGUCAACCUCAAUGCCAUGUUGAUUAACAAGAAACCCUAAAAAAAUUACCUACAGACACACCAAAAGCACAUUUAAGUGGAUUUAACUUUAAACUAUGAGUCCUCAUACGUAAAAAUGCUUGGCGUAAAUGGAAAAGGUGUUCAUUUGCUAUCUUAGAUUUCACAAUGAUCAUCUACAUAAACCUCUAUCAACUCGUCAAUCAAGUCAUGAAAGAUGGUAUUCAUGGCUUGUUGGUAAGUGACUCCUGCAUUCUUCAAGUCGAAGUGCAUGACUACCCAUUUGUAGCAUCCAAUAGCCCCUAGACAUCUGAACGCAGUCUUGUAGAUGUCUUCAUCGGCAAAAGAGUAUUUGAUUAUAGCCUGAGUAACAAUACAUAAAAGAUAAACUCUUAUGUCUAGUCACUGCAUCAAGCAACAUGUCAGCCAUCGGCAUAGGGUAUUGAUCUGUAGGAGUAACUAUAUUCAAAUUCCUAAAGUCUACACAUACACGUAAUUUUCCAUUCUUCUUCCUAACUGGCACUAUAUUCGGCAGCCACUCCACAUACCUAGCCGGUCUAAUAACCUUAGCUUUUAACAAGGGUUCAAUUUCUUUUUUAAUCUUAGGCAAAGUUUCAUAAACAAACCGCCUAGGUGACUGUUUAAAUGGCUUAAAGCCAGGGUUAUGGUAACCUAUCAAGGCCAGGCAUCUCAUGCUAGUGCAAUGCAAAAAAAUCUUUAAACUCUUUCAACAAUCAAUCAAAUCAUACCUGUCAUUUUCAUAAGCAAAAUGCCUAGGUGACUGUUUAAAUGGCUAAAAGCUAGGGUUUAUUAGUAACCUAUAUAGGCCAGGCAUCUCAUGCUAGUGCCAUGCAAAAAAAUCUUUAAACUCUUUCAACAUUCAAUCAAAUCUCAUGGUAGCCAGACCAACCAUGGUCGUGGUCAGCAGUCAGUCACGAGCGUGACCACCAGGAGAUUGUGGUUGUGACCAUCAGUAGGUCAUGGGCGUGGGUGUCAAGCAACCAUGGGCGUUGUGGUAAGUCCUUCAUGGGUGUGGUGGACUUAUUAUAAAAGCCAAAUCUGCGACCUGUAACUUAGAAUUAAAGCAGAAAAACCUACGACUGGUGAUCCUUUCUCAGUAGGUGGAGGAGAUCGAUAAAGGAGAGGAGGCAGAGUUGAUUGGUCUAGUAUCAUCGAUAGAGGGUUCGUGAGGCUAGGAGAGGCAUGGGAAGGUAAUAAAUUCUCUCCUUUCUCCCUUAAUCCUACGGUUGAAACCCACGUAGGAAAUGCUAACAGUCAGGGUUUUUGGAUAUUCAAUCCUUGAUUGGUCUUUUUAGGUCUAAUAGGACAGGAGGCUUAAGCUUCAGGAACGAAGCCACUAAUCACACUCUACCAGGAAACUAACUGAGGUGGGUAGAAGAUUGUAUUCUCCUUUAGAAGCGUAGAACUACAGUAUGAUGAUUUGGAAAUCCAUUGAUGGGAUUUGUUGUCCUAAUGGUAUUCAUGAUGAUGAGCGAGGGCUCUCGUAGCUGCUCCUCCAUCAAACUCCUGCACUUGGAUUCCCUACUCAAUCAAUUACGUUAGGUCACAAUUAGGUUAGAAAUUGAAGGUUUUUUAUGUAGGUUAGAAAUUGAGGGUUUAAUUCAAUGUUAUGAGCACUACCACUUCUAGGAUUUAGUGUUUAGUGUAGUGAUUAGGAUUUCAAAUAGAAACUUAGAGUUUCAAUUUAAGGGUUAUUAGUUAGGGUUCUUAGAAAUUCUAGGGUUAUUAGUGUUAGGGUUCUUAAAAUCGCUAAUGAGUGAUAAUGACGCAUUGUGCAUGAGUUGUUUAAAAGAAAUCGAGCACACAUGAACUUAUAUUGCAUCAGGAGAAUCUAAUUCGAGGUUGGUAUAUGUUGAAAUUUUGGGUUUUGUGUUCUAUGUUCGAUUUUCUUCUAUUAAGAGGUUGGCAGUCAAAUACCUUAAACCAUGUAUGGAAAUGUGGAAAUGUGGUGUUUAGAAAUAGGGUUGCUUUAAAAUGUAGUAAUGUGCUUUGCUAAUUAAUAUAUGUGUUAUAACUGUGUAAUUGAUAUCUAAACUAGAAUUUGGUAGCAUGAUAAUGUAAUGUGCCUAACAAUGAGUUUGCUUACAAAAGUAGUAGUAUAUAGUGUGCUUGAUUAGAAAUGUGAUUGCUUAGAAACUAGUUUAGUGAACAUAUGAAUUCAGUCAUGGCAUGGCAGACAUUAUGGUAGGAGCGUUGGACAGAAUGGAGGUGAUGAUGAUGAUGGUCAUCAGCGUUCAGUGGAGAAGGAGGCUUCGGAUUGGUAUGUGUGUUGCGUGUAUGGUAUGUAUACUUUCUCUCUAAACUAUGUAUCAUGUAUUAUGUAUAUGUGUGUGUUUGUAAAAUUAUGUAUUGAUUGUUUAGAUGAAAAUGGUAAGCCGUCUUAGGAAAAGUGGACAUUUAGAGAGAGGAGCAACAUUGGGCAGGAUGGGAGGAAGAUUUUUAUCGAGUUGGAUGCGGUUCCAGCGCCUUACAAAUGAUCUGGCCAAUACCUGUGACAGGUGCUUGGGAAGAGAAUCAAACUAGAACAAUUCACAUUUGGCAAUGACGUUGGUGAUGUGUGAGCGAUUUGGAGAAGGAAGACUCUUGGUAGUAACUCAUAGAGGUCAAUAUAGUAUUUUCUCUCUUAUUUAGGAUUUAGGGUAAGUUUUGUAUCAUAAUUAGAGUAUUUUAUAUAUCUUAUUAAUGGUUUGUUAAAUCAACCUAUAUUGAAGUAGCCUAUGUACUAUUGGAAGCCUGAGGAUGAUAAGGAUAUAUGAAAGUAUAUCUUCCCACAUCUAGGGAAGAAGUGGAGAGAGCAUCGAGGGGCAGUUUGGAAGAAAGUCCAGGCCGAAAAACCCUAAGAUUAUAGCUGAGUAUGUAGUAGCAAAGCCUAAUCCCGACUAUGAAGUUCACUGUUGAGGGAGUUUUGUGAAGUAUAAGACGGGAACGAAAGGAGUGAGGAGAUCGACAAUUAAUAAGUGUUGGAGAUUUCACUCAAUAAUGGGUAUCGGAAAGAUGGUUGCUUUCUUAGAAACAAAACCUUAUUGACAUAACGCAAAAUCUUUUUUGUUCCCAAGAAGUAGAAGAGGCACGAGGAUUACUUAAAUCCCUACAACCUUAGGAAUAAUUUAUUUAGAAUACCCAAGUUGAGACCUUCAUGCACAACAAUGUUCCAGAGAACCUCGGGGGAUCUUGGAUCAUGACGAAAUCAUGGAUACCACUUUUUGAAA
Molecule: long non-coding RNA, 70252 nt
Filed under: Linum usitatissimum (flax)
Lineage: Eukaryota; Viridiplantae; Streptophyta; Magnoliopsida; Malpighiales; Linaceae
Description: long non-coding RNA (LUSI_LNC005248)
Source: RNAcentral